RNAcentral lists this long non-coding RNA (73998 nucleotides) under Pelobates cultripes (western spadefoot toad). The record is from RNAcentral. Lineage: Eukaryota; Metazoa; Chordata; Amphibia; Anura; Pelobatidae.
AUUUAAUGUGAAUGAGAGGAGGAGGCGAGUGCAGGCUGGUUUAUUGUGCUGUAACCAAAGCAUAGACACAGCAGCACUCAGAGCUGGGAACAUGCAGUCUACAGGAGGCUGAGUGGGGCUUCCAUAACUGAGCGGAGGGUUUUGACAGUGGAGAGGACAAUUCUAUAACAGUAGAGUGGAGGAUUCCACAACACUGGAGUGAAAGAUUCUAUACAGUAGAGUGGAGCCUUCUAUGACAGUGGAGAGGACACUUCCAUUAUAUUGGAGUAGAGGCUACUGUGUGAGCUGCCUGGUUGGUUGAAAUAACCUUUCUCCUGCAUGGUAAGUUUAUGGUGGCAGUAAUGGGGUAGGAUGUUAAAAGUGCUUUAAUCUAGAGGAUUGAUGAGUCCUGGGUCUGGCUAUUACAGGGUUAAACAUGUGGACACCUGCUGUAAUCUUACUGACUUUUGUUAGAUAUUUUUUCUCUCUCUAUGUACAUCACAUGGAAUACCCCUACACAUGCUUUGUCAUGCAGUGUUACUGUGCAAUGUGCAGAAAUCCCAUUAUUUUGUGUGUGUGUUUUUAUAAUAUGUCUGUUUUAAAGAGCUUGCAAGCUAGUGACCCAUUACUUAUUGGACCAGCCUUCCCCGAGCUGAGAAAUUAUGGUGAAUUUGGUGAUUAUCAUUAUUAUACUUUAUUACUUUAUCAUUAUUAUACUUUAUUGUUAUUAUUUAUAGAGCACCGUCAAAUUCCGCAGCGCUUUACAAUGGGUGGACGAACAGACAUGUAGUUGUAACCAGACAAGUUGGACACACAGGAACAGAGGGAUUGAGGGCCCUGCUCAAUGAGCUUACAUGCUAGAGGGAGUGAGGUAAAGUGACACAAAGGUAGGGAUAGUAUUAGACUAGCGACAGUUGUAGAAGAGGAAUCAGUCAGGAGCUAUUAACAGUUUAAUUGAUACGCUUUUAUGAAGAAGUGGGUUUUUAACGAUUUUUUGAAGGAGUGGAGACUGGGUGAGCAUCUAAAGGAGGAGGGAAGUGAGUUCCACAGGAACGGUGCAGCCCUCGAGAAAUCUUGAAGGUGAGCAUCAGAGGUGGGAGUACGGACAGAAGAUAGACGUAAGUCUUCAGCAGAUCGUAAGGGCCUAGACGGGACAUACUUGUGUAUAAGGGAGGAUAGAUAGGUGGGAGCAGCAUUAUGUAGAGAUUUGAAAGCAAGAACCAGCAUUUUAAAUUGAGCUCUAUAUUUUAUAGGUAGCCAAUGUAGGGACUGACAGAAGGGUGAGGCAUGGGAGGUGCGGGCGGACAGGAAGAUUAGCCUCGCCCCCGCAUUCAUUAAUGACUGUAACGGCGCAAGUUGGGAGUACGUAAGACCACUGAGAAGCGGAUUACAGUAGUCAAGGGAAGAAAGGACAGUGGAAUGGACCAACACCUUAGUCGUAUCUGGCGUUAAGUAGGGUCGGAUGCGUGCAAUUUUUUUGAGAUGGAAGUUACUUUAUAACUUUCACUCGUGUGCUUAUUGAUGUGACAAUUCUGCAGUUCCAAGAUGUUCUGCAGCAGCUGUGAUCUCAUGUUUUACAUGACACCUCCAUUCUUUCUUGUGUCACAUUGCCAGCAAUAUGUAUACAUCUCUCCUGAAAUUGUAUUGAGUGACCAAUUGAUUUGACAGUUAUAGUGCCCCUAGUGGUAACUGGUAUGUUAGCGCAAUGAGAUUUGUUUACAGAAGUGCCAUGAAAGUGAUGUUUUCCAUUUUGAUAGAUUUUUUUUCAUGCAGUAUUUCAUUUGGAGAACUAACCACUGAGCUGCAUUUAUCCUGAUAAAAGUGCCCAUGUUGACAAUUGCCCACUGGUCUCAUUCCCUGCCCAGGACAAUAAAUGAAGAGUCUGUGUGUGCCCACCCACUGCGUGCCAUUCUAGACUAACUGGGUUCAUUCAUUAAACGAAUGACAUCAGGAGUGGGAGUGGGCGGUAAUUACUGUCACUGUGCCCUCGUGUUACUUGGUAAUGAUGGAGCAAGUCGUUCGUUUAUUUGUUUGGUUUUUCCAAAAGGAUCUAUAUUAACACAAAGUUAACCCCAAAGUGCAAAAUUCACAAACUGGGGGUUUAUUAACGUCCUAGCCUUGGGGGUGAUUACGGUAAAUGGCCAGCUUCCCACUCAGAUAAAUUUAUGUAGAACAAACUGGUCACUGGUAUAAAUAAAAGAGCCAUUAAAUAAAUAAUUUAGGUAAUCAUCACUCACCAUAUGAAACACACUGUGAUCUGUCAAUGUUUAAUGGCAAACAGGCACUAAGUAACAAAGUAUAACAAUAUAACCCUUAGUCUGAUUAACUCACUUUUAUUGGAGAUUAAUACACACAUGUCUCAUGGUUCCAUUGGAGAUUAAUCUGCUAAUUCUAAUUAGAAAAUAAAACACAGGAGAGAGGGUUCACUCACGAUUAUGGAUAGAUAGAUAGAUAGAUAGAUAGAUACAGAGAGAGAUAGAUAGAUAGAUAGAUACAGAGAGAGAUAGAUAGAUAGAUAGAUAGAUAGAUAGAUAGAUACAGAGAGAGAUAGAUAGACAGACAGAUUGAACGCAAUGUACUUGUUAAGCACCAUCUGUGCUGCGGCUCAUUAAAGUGGUUAUGGUGCUACGCUCACAUUUGGUUCAUUGUUCUGAAAGAGGUUUACUAAACCCUGGGCUCAUUCCCAGCUUCUCGACUCUCCUGAAACCAAUUCAAUAAUGUGGAAGAUUCACUUUACAGAACCAUCCAACAUUCCACAGCAGAAACAGGCUGGGAGUGAUGGGAUAACCUGAUCCCCAGCGCUUAUAGCCUGAUAUUUCCAUCCAAGGAUGGACAGUUUUAGAUAAAUAACACGUAUGUGAAUACUCAGCAUUAUACAAGCAGCUGCUGAAAGUGUUAUUAGAUCUUUCCACGGUGGGCCCCCAAAGACACACAGAACCAUAACCACUACAAUUAGCAGUGAGUGUCCCUUUAAGUACAACGCAUUAUCUACCUGUUUGUCUUAUUUACUAGAAAUAAACUUUAUGAAGGGAAUAACACAUUCUCCUUGCAAAAGAAAAAAAAAAACACAUUUUGUUUAAUUUAGCCAUGGCUGUCCUUAAUUUAAAAAUGAUUUUCCUUUAAAUGCUCAUCACAGAAUAUUCAUUGUUAUUUUCGUAUUCGUUCCGUUAUAUACAGAUGGUUUCUUGAUGAACAAUGAGUUGUUACAUCCAAUUUCAAUGAAACACAUUAAGAUUUGUUUGUGUAUUGUAAAUAUUAUCAAUUUGUAUUACGCCAACAUUUGUUAAGGGUUUGUAUUUACCUAAAUAAAUACACAAAAUAACAUAAACUGAAUUUCAAAGAUAAGGGACACAUCUGUUCAUUGAAACACUAUUAAAACGAGGAAGUCAGAACUUAAUUCAUUUUUCCCUAAAUAAAUGGCUUAAUUCCCUUGCUCUGUAAUUAUCAAGUCAUAGCUUUAUUCUUACAGAAUGACAAUAAAAAAAUGUUCGAUAAACAGAAUUAUAAUGCGUGUUCGUUGUGACUUAUAUCAUGCCUCUAAACUGUUUGUAAUGUUUACGGUGCUCAAGCAUGGCACUGACUUGUUCUUUCCAUACUUGCUGCCGAAUCCAUAUAAUAAACUCCGUAAUUAAGCUCAUUAUUAUUAUUAUUAUUAUCGCCAUUUAUAUAGCGCCAACAGAUUCCGUAGCGCUUUACAAUAUUAUGAGAGGGGGGAUUUAACUAUAAAUAGGACAAUUACAAGAAAACUUACAGGAACGCUAGGUUGAGGAGGACCCUGCUCAAACAAGCUUACAGUCUAUAGGAGGUGGGGUAUAAAACACAAUAGGACAGGAUUGUCAGCUUGGACCAUGCUGAGUUGAUGUUUCACAUCGAAAAGCAUCUUGAAACAUGUUUCUAUGAACAUGAAUUGAAUUUAUUGCAGCUGAAGUUUAUGGAUGUCCCAGAGGGCUUAGCUCCUCAAAACUCAGCAGUGUUGCCUAUGCACUGAGACAGUAUUUCAUUUGAUAAUAUAAGCUAUAUCUGAUGAAUUUUGCUGUCGUUUAGUCUCAAUACCCUAUCUCUUUAAGUGAGGAGAGUUGAACCCAGUAGACUUUAAUUAAGUUUUGUUUUUUUUUGCUGCAGAGUCCCAGAAUCCAGAUAAUUGUUUCGCAAUAAAAUAUUUUUUUCCUGCGAACGAACUUUAUUAAAAUUUCCAUAGUUGAUCAAUUUUCUAAAAUAGCAGAAAAUGAAAAAUGUAAAAAAAAAAUAAUAAUAAUUUAUGGCAAUUGUUAAACAAAAUAAAAAAUUAAAAUUCAAAACUCAUCACAUGCUAAAGAAAGUAAUCUGUAAUCCUCUAACUAUUGGGAAAUUUAACUCCCAAGGUCAAUUGACAACCAUAGAAGUUUCUCACAAUAAACCCCCCGGUCACUUCCCUGUUGAUAGCUUAAGAGGAAUUUCCCAAUUUUGAAUAAGCAACUAAUCUACCCAGUGAAUUGGGUUCAGUUUCCAGCUUAGGUAAUGCAGGUGUAUUGACCCAGCAUUCAAAAAUUUGCUUCAUAAAUGAACGAGUAUCUUUCAAGGAAAACAUUUGUUAAAGGAUCACGAUAGUGUCAGGAAAACAAAUCGGUUUUCCUGACACUAUAGUACCCUCAGGGUGCCCCCACCUUCAGGGUCCCCCUCCCGUGGUGCUUCAGUUACUCACCUUCUUCCACCGCCGUGCUCCCCUACCUCUCCUCCCCCGCCGACAUCACUGGAGCAGAAUGCGCAUGCACGGCAGUGCAGCGCGCGCAUUCAAAGUGUUCAUAGGAAAGCAUUUUUCAAUGCUUUCCUAUGGACGCUCUGCGUGAUGAAGGCAUAAUAUGCCUCCAGCGUCACAGAUGCGCCUCUAGUGGCUACUAGAGGCUGUCUUAACCCCAAAUGUCUUAACCCCAAAUGUAAACAUAGCAGUUUCUCUGAAACUGCUAUGUUUACAGUAGGCAGGGUUAACCCUAGAGGGACCUGGCACCCAGACCACUUCAUUGAGCUGAAGUGGUCUGGGUGACUAUAGUGUCCCUUUAAACUUCCUCAUACUUCAACUAUUAAACAUUAUGUGAGGAUCCUUCAUUUUAUAGAUCUUUCUAACUCCUUCAUUAGUGAGUUUGUUAUAAAAUAUAUGUUCAUUUUAAUAACUUUCGGAACACAUUCAUGGUUCUCAAAGGAGCAGAUUAGAGACUGAUUCCUCUUGGGUGGUAGAUCGUCUGAGUUCCUUACAUAGAAUUAGUAAAUACACAGAAAAUAACAGAAAAAAACUUAAGGAGAUACCUGCAAAUAUAAACCAUAUUAAAAGAUAGCUUUUGGGUUUGUUUUUUCAUUAAUUUAAUUAAAGCUUUUUAAAUCGCUCAAAUCCUGCAAUAAAUCUUACAGGUUCAGAAAAAGGAACAUAAAUAGGUAAAUGAUUGAAGCGAAAGUUGUGAGGUUCUCCGACAGUACCGAAAAAAGGCAGUAAUGCAAUCACAGACCAGGAACACUAAAGCAUUAGACAUGCAAACCUGCAGAAAUGUUUUACUUACCUCUCUGCCUCCUGCGACAUCAUGGAUUUAUGGCUACACUGGCGCAGGUGCCCUUCCCAAAAUAUGAAUCUUCACCUAUCUUUCUUUUAACCCACCUUUUGCAUUUCUUUCCCCUUUUAUUGUAUCUUACCCCCAUUUUUAAAAUGUUUGUGUUUUACACUCCCCUUUGUGUGUCUCGUUCCCCCCACAGUCCCUGUUUGUGUCUCUUUCUCCCCCAACUUCUUUGUGUGUCUUCCCCCAGCCCCCUUGUUUGUUUCUUUCUCCCUCCCCCAACUUAUUUUGUGUCUUUCUCCCCCUUCCCAACCUCUUUGUGUCUCUAUCUUCUCCCCCCCGCCCCCCCCAGCUCCUGCAUGUGGCUUUCUCCGUGAGAUCAUCUCAUUCUACCCCCCACCCUCCUUAUGUUUGUACCGGCCCUACCUUCCUCCACCAUGGUCCAAUUCUGAUGGGCAUGCUCAGCAAGUGCUGCACUGAUCCAAGCUUAUACACAGGAAAGCAUUCGAUUCAAAGGAUGAGCAAACAUGCUUUACACUUUUCAUGCUUAUUCGUCCUUGAUAAUAGAGUGAUAUUAGGGCAAAUAAAGCCAUUUUAGAACAGUUUGACCUCUUACAUGGGUUCACCAAGCGCUGCUCCCCACCUACUCUACAUCCCCUCUUGCUUAGGAGCUUCCUUAUCUGUGCUGGGCUAAUAACUGCAGUCUAGGACAUAUUGUAAGAACUUUAAUUAUUACAUGUGUGCACUAUUCACAAUUGUAUUAUAGUACCUUCAUAAGUCAUCACAAAUUUUAAUUGUCUUAAAGACACAGGGCACCCUUUUUAAAAUGUUAUUUCUAGAACUUUGGCUAAGAGCAUCAUCUGAUCACUCCCUGCAACUCCAGUCUCAUCUCACUGAGCAGUGGUAGAGCCAGGGAGUGCCAGCCAAUCAACUCUAAAAAAGGGGUGACAGAGCCAGUCUGUCUGGUGAGAGACCUGUUAGAGAGGUUUGUGUCAUGUGAUAUUCUUGUGAGACUUCACGUUUUGAAUUCUAGGUAUAAAGCAUCCAAAAAUGCUUUCAAAUUAUAAGUUAUGUAUGUAAUAAUAAUGUCUACAUAUUGUAAAAACAGUUGCCUGGUUACAAGCAAGCUUUUGUUGCAACCUGCACAAAAACCCUGCAAUGUGCCUGGAGCCCUUUUUUUUAACUGCUGCCUUGUAACUCUUUCAAUAUCGUUCCUUGAAUGCACCAGGUGAGGGGUAUGUCAUUCAGAGUGUCUCUGUGAGAGGGACUCCCCGAAACUCAGUUAUUUAGAAUUAGUUGAAGAUUACUACUGGAGCAGAAGGGAAGUAACAUUAGUUUUAAUUUUAACAAAAUUAAUUUUGCAUUAAAAGUAAAAAGGGGUAACCUUUUUUCAGGCAUGCUUCCUCAAUAUCAGUCUUUUAGUCAAAUUCUUCUAAUACUAAACAUCUAUUUAAUAAAUAUUAUUCAUGUAGACAUUUCCUAUACAAUUAUAUUAAUGUCUAAAUUUAAAUUGCCACAGAAGCGGCACUGUUUGUAUGAUAUGCACCCACUGAAUGUAUGUACUACGUGUUGAAACAACUGUUUCCUACAUUGUAUAACUUGUAAAGAUUUUUACGGUGUAAUUCCUGGAAUUAUCUUCUGUAAAACAGUCAAAAUUAAGUUUCACUCUAUAAAGAGUUUUGUAGGAAAGAAAUUUUACUGUAAACCACUGCAUAAAAUUCUGGAAAUUUUUUGUCGUCAGUAUUAGAAACAUUUAUAUAUAUAUUUAUUUUUAAUUUUAAUGACAAAUUAAUAGUUUUCAGCUACAGAUGGCUGUCUGCAGAGGGUUAAAUGGUUGAAAUAUCAGUUUAUUGUAAACCAAUGUUAAACAAUCCAAGAGCAAUGAAUGGAAAGAGAGACGGCAUUGUUAUUCUAAGAAAUCCGCUGAUCAGCUUGAAAAUGAAAACAUUCGUUUCAGUUUAGUAAAUAUCCUCCAUGGGGAAAAUCUGUGAUUAUAAGAGGGGUCAGCUGCUUAGUGACACAAAAAAACAGGACUGUCUUAGGAAAUCUAUGGCAGUUGUCACAUAUGCCUCCAGAAUUUGAUGUAAUCUCCAAAUUGAUCUCUCUAGCAUCCAAAUACUGUAUAGUGUUAUAUUGUCACAGAUGACCAAUUGGUGCUAUGCGAUAUGUGUGGUUUAAUCUAGUGUGCAAGGUUUAGUUUAGACUGCGUGACCUCCCAAUAGGAGUUAUCACAGGAAGUCAUAUAUAAGUUGGGGGAUAAUGUAUGGAAAACAUGUAAAUAACUACUGUCACGCAGUGAUGUAAGCACAGAUCUAAGGGGUGUAUAAAUUGGGAAGGUCGGAACAGUUUAAGCAUUUAGUUCUUUGAGAGCUUAAGAGGUAGUGCCUUAUCUUACAGUUCAUACGGACACUUAGCACACAGAAAGAGGUAUGUACGUGAAUGUGUGUGAUUAUAAUUGUGAACAUAUAUAGCUACAAAAAAAAUAGUCAAAUUGUUAUAUAGUGUAAUAAUGUAUUACAAUGUAUAUGUAUGAUGGUAUAUACGUACGUAAUGCACAUUUAUAUGCGUGUUGAUAUUUACAUAUUAAUGAUUAUAUUUAAAAAUUUUAUUACAUACAUGUUGGUAUGUUGUGGGGAAUGUAUCUAUGAUGUAUGCGUGGCCAUAUAUGUAGGAAUUUCUAUACAGCAGUGAUAUGAUACAGAAAUGCUGUUACAGAUCAUUGUAUUAGGCCACGUUCAGCCUUGGGAACCAUGUUUCAGCCCGGUGUAAAGUGCAGUGUGUGCGCAUGCACGUGCAAUAUAUGUGAUGUUGUGCGACACUGUAAAAAGGUAAAACAGCGAGUCAGGUGAGCAGGCAGGUAGAGGUACAUUGUAAACGAUCAGGGAAGGAGUCUGCCCGUCAGCAGAUAAUGGGAGUUUGUUCAGUUUGUAGAAUUGUUAGUUUUUAUGUUGCUUUGAUUUACCGGCUCAUUCUGCCUCUAUUUGUGUGCUGUAAAAAAAAUGCAUAUUGUGAGAUCAUAUAUAAUGCAGACACGAAGGUGAACGUAAUACUAAAGGAAUUUAUAAAUAUGAUUAUUACAUCUCUUCUUUCAGAGUACAUGCCCUGACUAUCACUAAUUCAUAGCCCCUUUCAACUUCUGUCUCUACUGGCGUGUCUCUGGCCCUUUCAUCAAUACUUCUCACUCGCUGAUUGUCCUCCAAAUCUCUUCUUCUCUAUCAAUCAAUUUUUCUUUAUCUCACUCCCCUCUCUCUAUCUCUACAUCUGUGCCACUCUCUCUGUCCCUUUCUCCAUCAUACCAUUUUCUAACUCACAAUGUCUCUCACUCCUGGUUACCAAUCUGUCUCCAUUCAUUUCUCCCCAUGUCUAUCCCCCUCAUAAAACUUAUUUUCUCUCCAUUGCUACUAUAAGUUUCUUUUUCUCUAUUUCUACCAUUCGUUUCUUUCUCUCCAUUUCUAACGCUAUCGUAAACUCCUAUUUUGUGUCUCCCAAUCUCUACCUGUCCUCCUCUUUCAUUCUGUUUGUGCCCAUCUCUAAUUCUCUCCAUCGCUCCUUUUCCAUGUCCAUCAUUUUCUCCCUCGUUUCUUUCCCAUUGUGACCAACCAAUAUCCCUCAAUUGUUCUCGUUCUCAAGCUAUUUAUUCCAUUUCUCCCUCUUACUCCAAAAUGCACAUCUAAAACCCCACUGUCCUCCUGUCUUCUUAACUUUAACCCACUCUCUCCCUCUCCAUUUUAUCUCUCUACCCUUCUCUCACCCUUUUCCAUACACCCCCUUUUAUCAGCAAUUUACUCUUCUGUAAUAUCAAUUAUUCUGUUAUUUAUCACUAUUUAGUUUUCCUAAUCAUUAAUAUUAAAAUAGAUUUUGCAGUAACAUGAGGAUCCUUUAGACCUUGUUUAAAGGACGCACCCACGAUGUGUUCUUAGGAUCACUGGGAUAAAAUGUCACCAAAGGCAAAGCAAUGCAUAGAAUUUUAUUUAGCGCCGUAUCUAUUACAGGUGGAAUCAGGUACAGAAUUACCUAGCAAGGAAGUAGAAAAAAACAAAACAUUGUUGAAAUGAAAGAAGCUUUUUAAUUCUAUUGCUUCACUUUCCGACUGCAAUGACAUUCGAGCGAGUAGCUCGGAAAGAUUUGUAAACGAAAGUUUGCAUUUGUAAAACCUCGGUAAGCACUCAGUAUAACUGGAACUGUUCCCAGAUCCUGCACACUGAGAAUGCUGAGUGAUACACUGUCUACUUGCAAUCAGGGUAUGCAGUAUCCCCAAUGGAAUUAUGGAACAUUUAAACUCGUUGUUUGAGGCGUCCAGAAACCAGUCUAAUGGUUUCUCAGUAUGGCUAUUAAGCCGGGAUAAUUCAUGAUUCACUAUUACGGAAUGUGUUCUGGGAUUAGCUGCUGCUGUAUGUGCAGUCACUGGAUUGUAGUGUCGUAUUUAAAAAAGAUUACUCACUACAAACAUUGAAAUUAAACACAUAAACAAGCAUGCGGUAUUAUAUCUUUAGCUGUUGCUACGUGUUCUGCAAAUACAUGUUCUAUUUUAACUGCUGUAUGCUUUCUUUCAAGUAACACGCAAACGUAAAAACGUAAUAUGUUUAUUUUCGAUGUUAGAAUGUCCCUUGUUCUAUUUAAUUUACUGCUCCCCUCCCUCCCUUACCUUUUAAAUGAAGAAAAAAUAAAUUAAACUUACCUGUUAUCCAGUGUAUCUCAGAGAGAAACAUUGGGGGCAUAGCGGACAAUGUGCAGUAAUCGCCAAGAAGCGCCGAUCUAAUGCUCCUCAUAAAGCAUGUUGUGUUGUUAAUGAACAUGAAGGUUCAAGGCAAAUUGAAGUUCUAAAGUGUAUCAAUUGAACUGUUAAUAGCUCCUGACUGAUUCCUCUUCUGCAACUGUCACUAGUCUAAUACUAUCCUUUCCUUUUUGUGUCAUUUUAUCCCACUCCCUCUAGCAUGUAAGCUUAUUGAGCAGGGAAUUUGAUGGCGCUAUAAUAAAUAAUAACAUAAUAAUAAUAAUAAUAAUAAUAAAGUGCCUCUAGUGGCUCUCAGUUUGAUGAAGAUCAGCAACAUUUCAGCUCCAUUAUCAAGCUAUCAAUAUAACAAAACACAACCAUAUUCAUAGAGUAGAAUUGUUUGCCAGUAGGACGUGUCAGUAUUUAAACAGAUCAGAUAAUCAGUAUUUUCAGAGCUUCAUAAGGCCACAUAUUUGGUGACUGCAUAGCAGGUGUAUUAAUCACAGAAAAUGCAGCAUUUCGUAAUGUUUUACAGGGUACAGUUUCAAAACUAGUCACAGCAUAUAUGAACUGUAUUCGCAAAGAGGAACGGAAUUUGUUUUCAUGAUGGUUUCUAAAUAAAAUAAACACUAUUUGGCGUAUGGAAAAUUACAAAGAAUUUUCUUCAUUUCGCAACAGCUAUCUGUUACUGCAGGUAUUUUAGUAUAUAACAACCAAGAGAAAUAAGUGAGGUGUGAUGUACGAUGCACACCACCCCCAACCUACCUGUCAAUCUUCAUUGCCCACCUUCUGGGUUUAGGUGGACAGGGAUGAGAGCAGGCUGCAUAGUGCUCAGUGAAAUGGGCAGAGCAACCCCUAUAGAGAGUGCAUAGGUGAUUGACAGAACGCCCCAUCAAUUGGCAAAAAAAUUAAAGUAAAUUCAAAGUAAUUCUCAACAUUUAAGUCACAAUAGCUGAAUUAGAAAAAGUCUACAAGUCAGUUCUAUUUUAAGUUUUGCCGUUUUGUCCUUAAAUUUAUGUUGAAUUCGCUUUGAAUUCCUGGCAAUUCUCACUUUAAUGAAUAGCACUGACAAAUUCUUUGAUAUCUCUCAAAUAUCUGGACUGGAAUGGCCGCAUUCUGAGAUAGAUUUAAGGUGGGGUGGGGAGGGUGAAGUCUAUCCAAUAAAGAACAAGUUGCAAUUAUUUGACAACCAGACACAGAAGAUGAAGUCACGAUGUGAAAUUAAGGAUGGGGGUUGUAGUGUUACACAUUUCUAAAAAGUAAGAAAUCAUUCACUACUCUAGUCUAAACUUUGCAUCUACGCGUCACACCACUGUUUAUUAAAUAGAUGAUCCCAAUGUAUCGCACGUAUUCCCUUUGUACUAAUUAUCCCUCUUUUUAACCAAGGAGAUACAUGUGUGUCUAUCAGCUGUACUACGUAACUGUUUCUGCAGGUUCAUCUCUACCAUUUACUAUUGUGACAUCGAUAAAUAUAUCAGGGAUUAACAUUUCAAGUCCUACUCUGUUAGACAUACCUUAACGUUACUCCACAUCACAAUCUUAGAGGGUCCGUGACGCACUCACCAGGGAGCUAAUGGGCAAGUGAAAAUUGAUUACCAUUAGAGAUGAUAUAUAAUCUUUAUCUCUAAUAUAUGGCCAGUUCUAAGGGUAUAAGCCAAACCAUAUGUUUGAAACCGCUUAGGAAAAAAGCUCUGUAUUUUAAAAUGGAGUGUUAUUUUUGUCAUAUUGUAUAGUGAGUGCUAUCAUGUUUCCUUUAACCCAUUGCCUUUUGCAACAAUUAUUAUUAGCAUCUUCACUGAUCAAUGACUUGCUUGGUGAGUUUAAUAAAAAACAUCAGUGUACCACUUCCAAACUAAAUAAUUCAGACGUGGCUUUUCGUUUUCUCAUAAAUUAUGAGAAUUGAAAAUGUAUAUUUCUUUAGUAAUUGUUCUGUGCAGAUGUAGUUUCCCCUAGAAAGUACAUUAGCCAAGUAUGCCAACAGGUAAAGCAAAGAGAAUUAACCAGACCUGUUAUUUUAUUCGGCAACAACAUGUAAAUGUUUAGACCGUUACUAUUACUACAGCUAUGACAACAAAGCCUCUCAAUCAGUACACUCUUCACGGGCCACAUCAGUAAAUAAUAUAAUUAAUCGGCACCGAGUGGUGGAAAUUUCAACAGAAUUUCAGAAAUAAUUGUGUAACAGUAGUAGAUUACUUUCCCGAUAAAAUGUUUUGGUCAAAGGGCAGAUGAUUUAAUUCCGGCGCCCCCUCCCUUUUUACCAUGUCGUGCUGUUAAUAGUUCAAUACAAUUAUAGAGGGAAAAUGUAAAAAAUAUUUGUGUCCCUUCUCUACCCUUGAGGCUGUGCUCCCCUGUCUCUGGACACCCAAGAUUUAUUUUCAGCACUGACUUUUGUAAGAAUCUAAAAUGCCAGGUGGGUAGAAUAUGGUAUUUGUCUCUGAAAAUAAUUUUUUGUUUCAUGAAAAAAAUCUGAAGAUUCACAAUACGACUUCUGAUAUUCCUGAGACCUUGUUUUAUAGUGUAAUAUUCCCAUGUUUGUAGGCGCUACAAAGAAUUGGCACAUACACAAUCCAACUACUUUUUAGCUACAUUUACUACAAACUCUGAACUCUCCCAUCCCUGACAUAGUUCACCUAGCAGGACUCUGUGAACCCAACAACCUACACAAUAAAUUCGCUUUUAUCUCUUAACCUCGAUAAACCCAACAACCUACACUAUAAAUUCACUGUUGCCACUCAACCUUGAUAAGCCAACAGCCUACGCUAUGAAUUCACUUUUACCACUCUUUAAAUUCACUGUUACUACUCACCCUCGAUAAGCCAACAAUCUAUACUUUAAAUUCACUGUUACCACUCACCCUCGAUAAGUCAACAAUCUAUACUUUAAAUUCACUGUUACCACUCACCCUCGAUAAUUCCAACAGCCUAUGCUAUGAAUUCACUGUUACCACUAAUCCUUGAUUAGCCCAACAGCCUACGCUAUGAAUUCACUGUUAUCACUAAUCCUCGAUAAGCCCAACAGCCUACGCUAUGAAUUCACUGUUACCACUAAUCCUCGAUAAGCCCAACAGCCUACUCUAUGAAUUCACUUUUACCACUCAGCCUUGAUAAUUCCCAACAGCCUACGCUAUAAUUUCAUGGUUAACACUUUUUUAAAACCAUUCUGACUCCUGGGUGACUAACAUUUUAUUGCUUUAUAACCUUUUUGCGUCCCAAAAUCUAGUUAAACUUAUAAUGCACCAACUAUUCUACAGUGUAAACAUCAUAAUACGCCUACCAUGGUAAAAUGCAUGAGAUCUGUUGCAAAUUGCUCCAGUUAUACAUAACGACUUGAGACAGGUAAGGAGGAAAGUCUUUGUACUGUAACCUAUUCAAGCAGCCACGGUGUUUGUGAGUACAGUGGGUUUGUAGGUUGCCCCGGGACAUCCUGAUAUAGACUUGAUUUGAUCUCAUCUCGACCAUUAGAGCCAUUGCCGUUACUUUUGGAUCUAUCUUCAAUGCUUAUUGUGUGAAAAUAAAAGACCAUGGAAAAUGAUUGUGUGACUGAAUCUUGAGAAAGCACUACACACGUGCCAGUUAAUGGAUAUGCAUGAUAUUAACAGGUGCCCAGUGACAGCUGGCUAUGGAACAAGAACCUAUGAGCUUUCUUUUGGUCCUUAUGAUUAAUAUUAUCGCCAUUUAUAUAGCAGCAACAGAUUCCGUAGCGCUUUACAAUAUUAUUAGAGAGGGGAUUUAACUAUAAAUAAGAAAAUUACAAGAAUACUUACAGGAACGAUAGGUUGAAGAGGACCCUGCCCAAACAAGCUUACAGUCUAUAGGAGGUGGGGUGUAAAACACUUUAGGACAGGAAAUAGCAAUCAAAUUAGGUGGGAGUGAAGGAGAGCUGGAGGAGAGAGUAGAGUGCUGCCCUUUAGGAGAGAGCAAGAGACAGGUAUGUGAAGUAGAGGUUAGUCUGGGAGGCCAUAGGCUUUCCUAAAGAAAUGGCACUUCUUAAAUGAUUGAAGACUAGGGGAGAGUCUGAUGGCGGUAGGCAGGCUAUUCCAUAGGAAGGGAGCCGCCCUUGAGAACUCCUGCAAGCCCCAGUUGGCCGUAUGGGUGCGAGCAUUGGACUGAAAAAGGUCACGAGCAGAGCUGAGAGACCGAGAAGGGGCAUACCUAUGGAUCUGUGAGGAGAUAAAAGAGGGGCUAAGAUUAUUCAGUGCUUUACAGGUAUGGGUUAGAACUUCUAAUUGACUCCUAUAGUAUACAGGAAGCCAAUGUAAGGACUGACAGAGGGGUGAGGUGUGAGAGGACCGACCAGAAAGGAAAAUCAGUCUGGCGGCAGCAUUGAAUACAGACUGUAGCGGGGCAAUAUGGCUAUUGGGAAGACCAAUUAGGAGAGAGUUACAAUAGUCCAUGCGAGAGAUAACUAGAGUAUGGACAAGCUCUUUAGUAACAUCUUGUGUAAGAAAGGGGCGGAUGCGGGCAAUGUUUUUAAGGUGGAAUUGGCAUGAUUUGACAACAGACCGGAUGUGAGGCUCAAAGGUGAGGCCAGAAUCAAAAGUAACACCAAGACAACGUGCUUGUAAGGAUGGGCUGAUAUGGGUAACACCAAUCUGAAGGGAGAGCGAGAGAGGAGGAUUAAUAUUAUGAGGAGGAAAGACAAGAAGUUCUGUUUUGGAAAGAUUCAGUUUUAGAAAGCGGGAGGACAUCCAAUCAGAGAUAGAAGAAAGGCAAGAGGUGACACGUUGCAGGACAUCAGGGGAGAGGUCCAGGGAGGAGAGAUAUAUCUGGGUGUAAUCAGCAUACAGGUGGUAUUGGAAUCCAAAUGAGGUAAUACGCUUGCCAAGAGAGGCAGUGUAAAGAGAAAAUAGAAGGGGACCAAGUACAGAGCCUUGAGGGACUCCAACUGAGACAGGACAAAUGGUGGAGGUAUCAUUAGAAAAGGAGACACUGAAUGAGCAUUGGGAGAGAUAAGAGGAAAACCACGAGAGGACAGAGUCACAGAGACCGAGUGAUUUAAAAGUUUGGAGAAGGAGAACAUGAUCAACGGUGUCAAAGGCAGCAGAGAGGUCAAGAAAAAUUAGCAUGGAGUAGUGACCUUUGGAUUUAGCUAUGAUAAUGGCGUUAGUGACUUUGCUAAGGGCAGUCUCAAUAGAGUGGAGGGGGCGGAAGCUGGACUAAAGAGGGUCAAGGAGAGAGUUGGAGUUGAGGAAGCAGGCCAGACAGGUCCAACGGGCUCAGGAAAGUGGUAAAUAUGGGAAAGUGCUAUUCAAAAAGCAAUAUGGGAAAGUGCUAUUCAAAAUGUAGUUGAAGUUAAUUAUAAGCUAAGGUAGCAUUUCCCAAUUGAUUUUCCGCGGAACCCUGGGGUUCCGUGAGAACACAAAUGGGGUUCAGCCAAAAUUUCUGAAAACAAAAUGGCCACAAGCGGUGAAGAAACAGUGGCCAGUGAUCUCCCUGUUCAUCUCCCUCACAAGCACAGCAGUGAUGCCGGAGACGGAAUAUGACGUGACUCCGGCAUCACUAAGAGGCGCGCGAGGGAGCUGAGCAGGAAGAUCACUGCUCCCUCGCCGCCCACACGCCAGCUGCUCAGCAGCCCCACUGCACCCCAGGGACCACACGCUCAGCCAGGCAGCCCCACUGGACCACAGGGACAUAGAGAUUCCAUGCCAGCACUCCCACAAAGGUAUGGAGGCUGGGUGGAGUAAAAUGUAAAAAAAAAAAUGUAUUGUGUGUCUGUUAGGGAGUUUGUAUGUGUUUGUGUGUCUGUCAAAGAGUGUAUGUGUGUUUGUCAGUGUGAGUGUAUGUGUGCUUGUCAGUGAGUGUGUAUGUGUUUGUCAGUCAGAAUGUAUGUGUGCUUGUCAGUGAGAGUGUAUAUGUGUUUGUUUGUUUGUUUGUUUGUUUGUUAGUAUGUGUGUCUGUAAAAGACUAUGUGUGUUUGUUAGUGAGAGUGUAUGUGCAUCUGUCAAAGAGUAUGUGUGUUUUUCAGUGAGAGUGUAAGUCAAAGAGUAUGUGUGUCUGAAUGUGUCAGUGUGUGUAUCCAUGUGUCAAGGUUUGUGUAUGUGUCACUGUGUGUAUCUGAGUGUGUGUGUGUCAGUAUGUGUGUGUGUGUGUAUGUAUCAGUGUGUUUGCAUGUGCCUGUGUGUGUGUGUGUAUGUCAGUGUGUUUGCAUCUGAGUGUGUCAGUGUGUGUAUAUGACACUGUGUGUAUGUGAGUGUGUGUAUGUGCCAGUUUGUGUAAAUGUGGGUAAAAGUGUUUGUAUAUGUCACUGUUUGUAUGUGUAUGUGUGUGUCAAGAUGUGUGUAUCUGUCACUAUGUGCAUCUGAGUGUGUUUAUGUGUAUCUGAGUUUGUGUAUCUGUAUGUCAAGGUGUGUGUGUCUGUGUGUCAGUGUGUAUAUGUGUGCCACUAUGAGUGUAUCUGUGUGUCAGAUACAUACACACACACAGAUACACACUGACACAUACAAACACAGAUACACACACCUUGACACACACCGGCACAUACAAACACAGAUACACACACUUUGACACAUAGAUACACACACCUUGACACAGAUACAUACACCCAGAGAUUUACACAGUGUGUACUGGCACAUACAAACACAGAUACAUACAUUUUGAUACACAGGCACAUACAAACACAGAUACACACACUUUGGCACACAUAUACACACACUUUGACACACAGAUACAUACGCACACACACACACACACACAGAUACACACUUUGUGUCGAGGUGUGUGUAUCUGUGUGUCAGUGUGUGUUUCUGUGUGCCACUAUGUGCCAGUGUGUGUGUAUCUGUGUGUCAGAUACAUACACACACACUGGCACAUACAAACACAGAUACACACACCUUGACACACAGACACACACUGGCAAAUACAAAAAAUGGCUAAUUUUUUACAUUUUAUUUUUAACGUGCUGGGGGGGAGAGGUUCCACAAUGUUGAUACAUUAUGUCAAAGGGUUCACUGGAAAAAUUAACUGGGAACCCCUGAGCUAGGGUUUUAAUUUAUUUGUCAUUUAAGCAGUUAUUUUUGGAAUGUUCCUUUAAAACUCCUCAAUUCACGAGUCUAAUCUCGAUUUGCCGCCAGUGAGUUUAGCAUUAUCGGAUUACCUGCUUGCCAGUUGGAGAUAUUUGCUAGUCUGCGGUAUCCGCUCAGGCUUGUGAAGAUUGAGUCACUUACUAGAAUUUCUGUCUUGUUUUGCUGUUAAUGUCAGUAUCUGAAGUUUGCAUGAUUUCAUUGCUGUUCUCAACCUGAUACAUAGGCAAAAUAUUGAUACAAUUAGAGUUUAAAAUUCUAUGGAGAUAAUCAAAACAAAUUAGAAGAAAAUUAAAAUAAACACUCCUUCUAUCUUGUUAUCUGCAGAAAACAUAAAUCAUUUACUUUUCAUUUUAAUUGUUUAUUUCAGAGGCAGCAAAGUUUUUUAAUUAUUAUUAUUAUUAUGAUAUUUAUAUAGCGCCAUCAAAUUCCGCAGCGCUUUACGAUGGGUGGAUGAACAGACAUGUAGUUGUAACCAGACAAGUUGGACACACAGGAACAGAGGGGUUGAGGGCCCUGCUCAAUGAGCUUACAUGCUACAGGGAGUAAAUGACACAAAAAGGUAAGGAUAGUAUUAGACUAAUGACAGUUGCAGAAGAGGAAUCAGUCAGGAGCUAUUAACAAUUUAAUUGAUUCGCUUUUAUGAAGAAGUGGGUUUUUAACGAUUUUUUUAAGGAGUGGAGACUGGGUGAGCAUCUAACGGAGGAGGGAAGCAAGUUCCACAGGAACGGUGCAGCCCUCGAGAAAUCUUGAAGGCGAGCAUCAGAGGUGGAAGUACAGACAGAAGAUAGACGUAAGUCUUCAGCAGAUCGUAAGGGCCUAGACGGGACAUACUUGUGUAUAAGGGAGGAUAGAUAGGUGGGAGCAGCAUUAUGUAGAGAUUUGAAAGCCAGAACCAGAAUUUGAAAUUGAGCUCUAUAUUUUAUAAUCAUAAUUCACCUAUUUAUUGUCCUUGGUUAAACGACUCUGUGUGCAUCCAUUUCUCUCUCUUUGGCGAUGUUUACUAAAAAAAUAUUGUAGGGAAUGAACAGCUUAAAGCGUAUAGUGAUGUAUUGAUAAAGUAGGACUGCCUAUAAAGUGAUACCGUGUCAAUUUGGCGAUAGGUGGAAAACCAAUAAACAAUUUAGAAUUCUGUGUAAGAACCUGUUAUACACAUAAACAAUUCCUUUAAGGUUAAUAUUUCGUUGGUAAUUAUCAAUAGCUUAAUGUUAAUGGCCUGUGUGUCACAGUUAAAUUACCCUAUAUCUGUUUGUUUGGCUGUGAGAUACACAAGCACCUUUAGCUACAUUUCGUUUACUCCUGUUUUCUGAAAGGGUGUACACAGAGCUCGAAGUGAGCGCACUCUCAUUAGCCAUUAUGAACUGGCAAUUCAGUCGCGGCAAAUGAAAGCUCAGCCCUGGGGAGUCAUAACACUCGGUGCUUGUUAAAAUGAUCAGNNNNNNNNNNNNNNNNNNNNNNNNNNNNNNNNNNNNNNNNNNNNNNNNNNNNNNNNNNNNNNNNNNNNNNNNNNNNNNNNNNNNNNNNNNNNNNNNNNNNCUGUUCCCAGAUCCUGCACACUGAGAAUGCUGAGUGAUACACUGUCUACUUGCAAUCAGGGUAUGCAGUAUCCCCAAUGGAAUUAUGGAACAUUUAAACUCGUUGUUUGAGGCGUCCAGAAACCAGUCUAAUGGUUUCUCAGUAUGGCUAUUAAGCCGGGAUAAUUCAUGAUUCACUAUUACGGAAUGUGUUCUGGGAUUAGCUGCCGCUGUAUGUGCAGUCACUGGAUUGUAGUGUCGUAUUUAAAAAAGAUUACUCACUACAAACAUUGAAAUUAAACACAUAAACAAGCAUGCGGUAUUAUAUCUUUAGCUGUUGCUACGUGUUCUGCAAAUACAUGUUCUAUUUUAACUGCUGUCUGCUUUCUUUCAAGUAACACACAAACGUAAAAACGUAAUAUGUUUAUUUUUGAUGUUAGAAUGUCCCUUGUUCUAUUUAAUUUACUGCUCCCCUCCCUCCCUUACCUUUUAAAUGAAGAAAAAAUAAAUUAAACUUACCUGUUAUCCAGUGUAUCUCAGAGAGAAACAUUGGGGGCAUAGCGGACAAUGUGCAGUAAUCGCCAAGAAGCGCCGAUCUAAUGCUCCUCAUAAAGCAUGUUGUGUUGUUAAUGAACAUGAAGGUUCAAGGCAAAUUGAAGUUCUAAAGCGUAUCAAUUGAACUUAAAUAGCUCCCGACUGAUUCCUCUUCUGCAACUGUCACUAGUCUAAUACUAUCCUUACCUUUUUGUGUCAUUUUAUCCCACUCCCUCUAGCAUGUAAGCUCAUUGAGCAGGGAAUUUGAUGGCGCUAUAAUAAAUAAUAACAUAAUAAUAAUAAUAAUAAUAAUAAUAAUAAAGUGCCUCUAGUGGCUCUCAGUUUGAUGAAGAUCAGCAACAUUUCAGCUCCUUUAUCAAGCUAUCAAUAUAACAAAACACAACCAUAUUCAUAGAGUAGAAUUGUUUGCCAAUUAGUAGGACGUGUCAGUAUUUAAACAGAUCAGAUAAUCAGUAUUUUCAGAGCUUCAUAAGGCCACAUAUUUGGUGACUGCAUAGCAGGUGUAUUAAUCACAGAAAAUGCAGCAUUUCGUAAUGUUUUACAGGGUACAGUUUCAAAACUAGUCACAGCAUAUAUGAACUGUAUUCGCAAAGAGGAAUGGAAUUUGUUUUCAUGAUGGUUUCUAAAUAAAAUAAACACUAUUUGGCGUAUGGAAAAUUACAAAGAAUUUUCUUCAUUUCGCAACAGCUAUCUGUUACUGCAGGUAUUUUAGUAUAUAACAACCAAGAGAAAUAAGUGAGGUGUGAUGUACGAUGCACACCACCCCCAACCUACCUGUCAAUCUUCAUUGCCCACCUUCUGGGUUUAGGUGGACAGGGAUGAGAGCAGGCUGCAUAGUGCUCAGUGAAAUGGGCAGAGCAACCCCUAUAGAGAGUGCAUAGGUGAUUGACAGAACGCCCCAUCAAUUGGCAAAAAAAUUAAAGUAAAUUCAAAGUAAUUCUCAACAUUUAAGUCACAAUAGCUGAAUUAGAAAAAGUCUACAAGUCAGUUCUAUUUUAAGUUUUGCCGUUUUGUCCUUAAAUUUAUGUUGAAUUCGCUUUGAAUUCCUGGCAAUUCUCACUUUAAUGAAUAGCACUGACAAAUUCUUUGAUAUCUCUCAAAUAUCUGGACUGGAAUGGCCGCAUUCUGAGAUAGAUUUAAGGUGGGGUGGGGAGGGUGAAGUCUAUCCAAUAAAGAACAAGUUGCAAUUAUUUGACAACCAGACACAGAAGAUGAAGUCACGAUGUGAAAUUAAGGAUGGGGGUUGUAGUGUUACACAUUUCUAAAAAGUAAGAAAUCAUUCACUACUCUAGUCUAAACUUUGCAUCUACGCGUCACACCACUGUUUAUUAAAUAGAUGAUCCCAAUGUAUCGCACGUAUUCCCUUUGUACUAAUUAUCCCUCUUUUUAACCAAGGAGAUACAUGUGUGUCUAUCAGCUGUACUACGUAACUGUUUCUGCAGGUUCAUCUCUACCAUUUACUAUUGUGACAUCGAUAAAUAUAUCAGGGAUUAACAUUUCAAGUCCUACUCUGUUAGACAUACCUUAACGUUACUCCACAUCACAAUCUUAGAGGGUCCGUGACGCACUCACCAGGGAGCUAAUGGGCAAGUGAAAAUUGAUUACCAUUAGAGAUGAUAUAUAAUCUUUAUCUCUAAUAUAUGGCCAGUUCUAAGGGUAUAAGCCAAACCAUAUGUUUGAAACCGCUUAGGAAAAAAGCUCUGUAUUUUAAAAUGGAGUGUUAUUUUUGUCAUAUUGUAUAGUGAGUGCUAUCAUGUUUCCUUUAACCCAUUGCCUUUUGCAACAAUUAUUAUUAGCAUCUUCACUGAUCAAUGACUUGCUUGGUGAGUUUAAUAAAAAACAUCAGUGUACCACUUCCAAACUAAAUAAUUCAGACGUGGCUUUUCGUUUUCUCAUAAAUUAUGAGAAUUGAAAAUGUAUAUUUCUUUAGUAAUUGUUCUGUGCAGAUGUAGUUUCCCCUAGAAAGUACAUUAGCCAAGUAUGCCAACAGGUAAAGCAAAGAGAAUUAACCAGACCUGUUAUUUUAUUCGGCAACAACAUGUAAAUGUUUAGACCGUUACUAUUACUACAGCUAUGACAACAAAGCCUCUCAAUCAGUACACUCUUCACGGGCCACAUCAGUAAAUAAUAUAAUUAAUCGGCACCGAGUGGUGGAAAUUUCAACAGAAUUUCAGAAAUAAUUGUGUAACAGUAGUAGAUUACUUUCCCGAUAAAAUGUUUUGGUCAAAGGGCAGAUGAUUUAAUUCCGGCGCCCCCUCCCUUUUUACCAUGUCGUGCUGUUAAUAGUUCAAUACAAUUAUAGAGGGAAAAUGUAAAAAAUAUUUGUGUCCCUUCUCUACCCUUGAGGCUGUGCUCCCCUGUCUCUGGACACCCAAGAUUUAUUUUCAGCACUGACUUUUGUAAGAAUCUAAAAUGCCAGGUGGGUAGAAUAUGGUAUUUGUCUCUGAAAAUAAUUUUUUGUUUCAUGAAAAAAAUCUGAAGAUUCACAAUACGACUUCUGAUAUUCCUGAGACCUUGUUUUAUAGUGUAAUAUUCCCAUGUUUGUAGGCGCUACAAAGAAUUGGCACAUACACAAUCCAACUACUUUUUAGCUACAUUUACUACAAACUCUGAACUCUCCCAUCCCUGACAUAGUUCACCUAGCAGGACUCUGUGAACCCAACAACCUACACAAUAAAUUCGCUUUUAUCUCUUAACCUCGAUAAACCCAACAACCUACACUAUAAAUUCACUGUUGCCACUCAACCUUGAUAAGCCAACAGCCUACGCUAUGAAUUCACUUUUACCACUCAACCUUGAUAAGCCAACAAUCUAUACUUUAAAUUCACUGUUACCACUCACCCUCGAUAAGCCAACAAUCUAUACUUUAAAUUCACUGUUACCACUCACCCUUGAUAAUUCCAACAGCCUAUGCUAUGAAUUCACUGUUACCACUAAUCCUUGAUUAGCCCAACAGCCUACUCUAUGAAUUCACUGUUACCACUAAUCCUUGAUUAGCCCAACAGCCUACGCUAUGAAUUCACUGUUACCACUAAUCCUCGAUAAGCCCAACAGCCUACUCUAUGAAUUCACUGUUACCACUAAUCCUUGAUAAGCCCAACAGCCUACUCUAUGAAUUCACUUUUACCACUCAACCUUGAUAAGCCAACAAUCUAUACUUUAAAUUCACUGUUACCACUCACCCUCGAUAAGCCAACAAUCUAUACUUUAAAUUCACUGUUACCACUCACCCUUGAUAAUUCCAACAGCCUAUGCUAUGAAUUCACUGUUACCACUAAUCCUUGAUUAGCCCAACAGCCUACUCUAUGAAUUCACUGUUACCACUAAUCCUUGAUUAGCCCAACAGCCUACGCUAUGAAUUCACUGUUACCACUAAUCCUCGAUAAGCCCAAUAGCCUACUCUAUGAAUUCACUGUUACCACUAAUCCUUGAUAAGCCCAACAGCCUACUCUAUGAAUUCACUUUUACCACUCAACCUUGAUAACUCCCAACAGCCUACGCUAUAAUUUCAUGGUUAACACUUUUUUAAAACCAUUGUGACUCCUGGGUGACUAACAUUUUAUUGCUUUAUAACCUUUUUGCGUCCCAAAAUCUAGUUAAACUUAUAAUGCACCAACUAUUCUACAGUGUAAACAUCAUAAUACGCCUACCAUGGUAAAAUGCAUGAGAUCUGUUGCAAAUUGCUCCAGUUAUACUUAACGACUUGAGACAGGUAAGGAGGAAAGUCUUUGUACUGUAAUCUAUUCAAGCAGCCACGGUGUUUGUGAGAUGUGUACAGUGGGUUUGUAGGUUGCCCCGGGACAUCCUGAUAUAGACUUGAUUUGAUCUCAUCUCGACCAUUAGAGCCAUUGCCAUUACUUUUGGAUCUAUCUUCAAUGCUUAUUGUGUGAAAAUAAAAGACCAUGGAAAAUGAUUGUGUGAGUGAAUCUUGAGAAAGCACUACACACGUGCCAGUUAAUGGAUAUGCAUGAUAUUAACAGGUGCCCAGUGACAGCUGGCUAUGGAACAAGAACCUAUGAGCUUUCUUUUGGUCCUUAUGAUUAAUAUUAUUGCCAUUUAUAUAGCACCAACAGAUUCUGUAGCGCUUUACAAUAUUAUUAGAGAGGGGAUUUAACUAUAAAUAGGAAAAUUACAAGAAUACUUACAGGAACGAUAGGUUGAAGAGGACCCUGCUCAAACAAGCUUACAGUCUAUAGGAGGUGGGGUGUAAAACACUUUAGGACAGGAAAUAGCAAUCAAAUUAGGUGGGAGUGAAGGAGAGCUGGAGGAGAGAGUAGAGUGCUGCCCUUUAGGAGAGAGCAAGAGACAGGUAUGUGAAUUAGAGGUUAGUCUGGGUGGCCAUAGGCUUUCCUAAAGAAAUGGCACUUCUUAAAUGAUUGAAGACUAGGGGAGAGUCUGAUGGCGGUAGGCAGGCUAUUCCAUAAGAAGGGAGCCACCCUUGAGAACUCCUGCAAGCCCCAGUUGGCCGUGUGGGUGCGAGCAUUGGACUGAAGAAGGUCACGAGCAGAACGGAGAGACCGAGAAGGGGCAUACCUAUGGAUCUGUGAGGAGAUAUAAGAGGGGCUAAGAUUAUUCAGUGCUUUAUAGGUAUGGGUUAGAACUUCUAAUUGACUCCUAUAGUAUACAGGAAGCCAAUGUAAGGACUGACAGAGGGGUGAGGUGUGAGAGGACCGACUAGAAAGGAAAAUCAGUCUGACGGCAGCAUUGAAUACAGACUGUAGCGGGGCAAUAUGGCUAUUGGGAAGACCAAUUAGGAGAGAGUUACAAUAGUCCAUGCGAGAGAUAACUAGAGUAUGGACAAGCUCUUUAGUAACAUCUUGUGUAAGAAAGGGGCGGAUGUGGGCAAUGUUUUUAAGGUGGAAUUGGCAUGAUUUGACAACAGACCAGAUGUGGGGCUCAAAGGUGAGGCCAGAAUCAAAAGUAACACCAAGACAACGUGCUUGUAAGGAUGGGCUGAUAUGGGUAACACCAAUCUGAAGGGAGAGCGAGAGAGGAGGAUUAAUAUUAUGAGGAGGAAAGACAAGAAGUUCUGUUUUGGAAAGUUUCAGUUUUAGAAAGCGGGAGGACAUCCAAUCAGAGAUAGAAGAAAGGCAAGAGGUGACACGUUGCAGGACAUCAGGGGAGAGGUCCAGGGAGGAGAGAUAUAUCUGGGUGUCAUCAGCAUACAGGUAGUAUUGGAAUCCAAAUGAGGUAAUACGUUUGCCAAGAGAGGCAGUGUAAAGAGAAAAUAGAAGGGGACCAAGGACAGAGCCUUGAAGGACUCCAACUGAGACAGGACAAAUGGUGGAGGUAUCAUUAGAAAAGGAGACACUGAAUGAGCAUUGGGAGAGAUAAGAGGAAAACCACGCGAGGACAGAGUCACAGAGACCGAGUGAUUUAAAAGUUUGGAGAAGGAGAACAUGAUCAACGGUGUCAAAGGCAGCAGAGAGGUCAAGAAAAAUUAGCAUGGAGUAGUGACCUUUGGAUUUAGCUAUGAUAAUGGCGUUAGUGACUUUGCUAAGGGCAGUCUCAGUAGAGUGGAGGGGGCGGAAGCUGGACUAAAGAGGGUCAAGGAGAGAGUUGGAGUUGAGGAAGCAGGCCAGACAGGUCCAACUGGCUCAGGAAAGUGGUAAAUAUGGGAAAGUGCUAUUCAAAAAGCAAUAUGGGAAAGUGCUAUUCAAAAUGUAGUUGAAGUUAAUUAUAAGCUAAGGUAGCAUUUCCCAAUUGAUUUUCCGCGGAACCCUGGGGUUCCGUGAGAACACAAAGGGGGUUCAGCCAAAAUUUCUGAAAACAAAAUGGCCGCAAGCGGUGAAGAAACAGUGGCCAGUGAUCUCCCUGUUCAUCUCCCUCACAAGCACAGCAGUGAUGCCGGAGACGGAAUAUGACGUGACUCCGGCAUCACUAAGAGGCGCGCAACGGAGCUGAGCAGGAAGAUCACUGCUCCCUCGCCACCCACACGCCAGCUGCUCAGCAGCCCCACUGCACCCCAGGGACCACACGCUCAGCCAGGCAGCCCCACUGGACCACAGGGACAUAGAGAUUCCAUGCCAGCACUCCCACAAAGGUAUGGAGGCUGGGUGGAGUAAAAUGUAAAAAAAAAUAAAAAAUAAUUUUGUGUCUGUUAGGGAGUUUGUAUGUGUUUGUGUGUCUGUCAAAGAGUGUAUGUGUGUUUGUCAGUGUGAGUGUAUGUGUGCUUGUCAGUGAGUGUGUGUGUAUGUGUUUGUCAGUCAGAAUGUAUGUGUGCUUGUCAGUGUGUAUAUGUGUUUGUUUGUUUGUUAGUAUGUGUGUCUGUAAAAGACUAUGUGUGUUUGUUAGUGAGAGUGUAUGUGCAUCUGUCAAAGAGUAUGUGUGUUUUUCAGUGAGAGUGUAAGUGUGUCUGUCAAAGAGUAUGUGUGUCUGAAUGUGUCAGUGUGUGUAUCCAUGUGUCAAGGUUUGUGUAUGUGUCACUGUGUGUAUCUGAGUGUGUGUGUGUCAGUAUAUGUGUGUGUGUGUGUGUGUAUGUAUCAGUGUGUUUGCAUGUGCCUGUGUGUGUGUGUGUGUGUGUGUAUGUCAGUGUGUUUGCAUCUGAGUGUGUCAGUGUGUGUAUAUGACACUGUGUGUAUGUGAGUGUGUGUAUGUGCCAGUUUGUGUAUCUGUGGGUAAAAGUGUUUGUAUAUGUCACUGUUUGUAUCUGAGUGUGUGUGUAUGUGUGAGUCAAGAUGUGUGUAUCUGUCACUAUGUGCAUCUGAGUGUGUUUAUGUGUAUCUGAGUUUGUGUAUCUGUAUGUCAAGGUGUGUGUGUCUGUGUGUCAGUGUGUGUAUGUGUGCCACUAUGAGUGUAUCUGUGUGUCAGAUACAUACACACACACAGAUACACACUGACACAUACAAACACAGAUACACACACCUUGACACACACCGGCACAUACAAACACAGAUACACACACUUUGACACAUAGAUACACACACCUUGACACAGAUACAGACACACAGAGAUUUACACAGUGUGUACUGGCACAUACAAACACAGAUACAUACAUUUUGAUACACAGGCACAUACAAACACAGAUACACACACUUUGGCACACAUAUACACACACUUUGACACACAGAUACAUACACACACACAGAUACACACUUUGUGUCGAGGUGUGUGUAUCUGUGUGUCAGUGUGUGUUUCUAUGUGCCUGUGUGUGUGUAUCUGUGUGUCAGAUACAUACACACACACUGGCACAUACAAACACAGAUACACACACCUUGACACACAGACACACCGGCAAAUACAAAAAAGGGCAAAUUUUUUACAUUUUAUUUUUAACGUGCUGGGGGGUGGGGGGUUCCACGAUGUUGAUACAUUAUGUCAAAGGGUUCCACUGGAAAAAUUAAUUAGGAACCCCUGAGCUAGGGUUUUAAUUUAUUUGUCAUUUAAGCAGUUAUUUUUGGAAUGUUCCUUUAAAACUCCUCAAUUCACGAGUCUAAUCUCGAUUUGCCGCCAGUAAGUUUAGCAUUAUCGGAUUACCUGCUUGCUGGUUGGAGAUAUUUGCUAGUCUGCGGUAUCCGCUCAGGCUUGUGAAGAUGGAGUCACUUACUAGAAUUUCUGUCUUGUUUUGCUGUUAAUGUCAGUAUCUGAAGUUUGCAUGAUUUCAUUGCUGUCCUAACCUGAUAUAUAGGCAGGGGCGUACCUAGAGCAUUUGGCACCGGGGCAGAUCCUGUGCUUGGCACCCCAAAAAACCUGUAAAAAUGUUAAAGGUUUUCUUUUUUUUUACAAUUUGUAAACUUUGCAAAACCGCUGUCAGCCCCUCCUACAAAACCCUUGUCCUGCCCCGCCCCUCCUACAAAACCUCUGUCCUGCCCCUUCUACAAAUCCUGUACUGCCCCGUCUACAAAACCCCCGCAACCCCCUUCCACAAAUCCCCUGCUUAUCCCCCUUAUAAAGACUCCUGUCCCAAUACAAAACCCCCGCCCCCUUCUACAAAAUCCCUGCAGCCCCACACACACAUUUACAGGCAGACAGUCACACACUCAGUUACAGACAGACAGUCACACACUCAGUUACAGGCAGACAGUCACACACAGUCACAGGCAGACAGUCACACAUACACAUUUCCUCCGUGCACCCAGUUUAUCAGCUGUUUGCUUGUGUGAGCUAUACUGGCCGCACGGCACCCUAACUACCAUGGGACACUGUGCGGCCACAGCUCACACAGCCCCCUCCAGCCAGGGCCGGUGCAAGGAUUUUUGCCGCCCUAGGCAAAAGUAAAGUUUGCCGCCCCCCCAUGUGACAUCACAAUGCCUCACCCAUAUGAUCUGCCAUGUUAACUAACACUAGUGCUGCAGUGCCGCCGUGUUUACAUUAAAAGGCAUGCAGGGACAGGCUAGACACCAGAACCACUACAUUAAGCUGUAGUGGUUCUGGGGACUAUAGUGUCCCUUUAAUGUGAGGUAAAUUAGAGAUUAGUGCCACAAAUAAUAUACUAGAUUGCCUACUUACAACCAGAUGAGGAUGAUGAUGGGCUCUAGCUGCAGUCUGGCUCCACUGGUCUGGUGCAGAACAGGCUCUCUGGAGGCGGUUUGUAACUGUGGUCACAAAAAUCAAUGUUCUGGGAGAACGGGAAGCAGCUCAAUUUUUUGGGGGUCCUUUACACAGCUCAAGGUCUGGGUCCCAGGGUCCACCUUCAUGUUCCACCAAUGAGUUUGUUCACAGGGGGUGGAGUGUGUAGGGGAUGCCCUGAUAUGUGUGUAAGGAAUGCAUUGUGUGAAAUUGUGUUUGUAUGUGUAAGGGCUGCAAGGUGUGUUUCUGUGUAUUUAUGGGAUGCAUUGAAUGUGUGUAAGGGGUGCAUUGAGUGUGUGUAAUGAAUGCAUUGUGUGUUUCUGUGUGUGUAAGGGAUGCAUUGUGUGUAGCGGUUGCAUUGCUUGUGUAUGUGUGUCUGUGUGUGUAAUGCAUUGUGUGUUUUUCUGUGUGCAAGGGGUGCAUUGUGUGUAUGUGAUGAAUGUCAAUCUCUCCUCCCGCUCCAAUUUCCUUCUCCUCCUCCCAAUUUCUCUUUCUCACCCCCCCUCCCCCCUCCUAAUUUCUCUCUGUAACAAACCGUUUUGCACAAAAGGGGAAAAAAACGUCUAGGCGAUCGGCCCCCUUUCCGGAGAUGCAGACACAGCUACUGCCGAACACCAAACACACGAACCGCCAAUAAGUGAAUGCUCCAAACUCCCGAACGGCAUCCAAUAUAGCACUCCAAACACACGAACAGGAACCAUACAAAUUGCUGCUAGCAGACGAAUAGGAAAAGCAUCCAAGCGGCUUACACUCCUAGCAAUCAGUCUCUAUCAGCAUUCAGUAAAUCCCCCCAAAGACGAGACAAGACUCCGUGUUGAGGGUCAAGCAGUGGUCUGUUUAAUGAGGGCUACCUGCCCAGUAUUUAUGCAGGUCUCCCACCUGGUGGACACUCCCCUAGGGGACCAGAUGGAAGACUGUAACAAAAGACAGACAUGUACCAAUUACAGAUAUACAGAAGUAAAACAUCCCCACAAUGCAUCCUGGCUUCCUCCCAGGACAAAGGCAAAACUCCAUUACACACGUGGGGACACAAAACCAGUAUUAUACUUUAAAAUACAUAAAGUAACAUUUAUUACAUAAAACACAGACAUGUAACAUAUCCCCCGAUAGCUCAGGUCUGAGCGCACAUUAUUAUGCGAAUGGCGCUCAGACCACACGAAUACAGUUUAAUCGCCAUGGAGCCAAAGUCUUUGCAGUCAGUUUCAUACGAAUGGGCUCCAUGGGAUUCCUAUCUGGGGUAUAACACAUUCGAACAAAACUACCGAACACCGGGCCGUUCGUGCACUUCCACCGAACAAGAAGGGAGGUCGGCGGCUUCAGCGGUGUUCGCGCAAAACUGUGUCCGAUUUUAGUUCCAUGAAAAUAGGGGCGAACACCGCUGUGCAUUUGUAUGUUUAAAAUGGCCGCGACCUCGUGUUCGGGAUACGAAUGGCGGCCACCCAGCAUUCGUCAAUUAAGCUGCGGUUAACCGCAGCUUCAGGGAGGUUAAUUGCAGGCACACUCCAGCUCCCAGGUGGUCUAUUCAUUCGUGCGGUUGUUCGGUAGAUUGAAUCUACCGAACAACCGGCAGNNNNNNNNNNNNNNNNNNNNNNNNNNNNNNNNNNNNNNNNNNNNNNNNNNNNNNNNNNNNNNNNNNNNNNNNNNNNNNNNNNNNNNNNNNNNNNNNNNNNUCAUCUUCCGGCUCCGACAUCAGUACGGUGCGCGAGGGAGCUGAAGAGGAAGCACACAGAGAGUGCUCCCUCGCGCGCCGGCCGCCGGGUGUCAGCAGGGCCAGCCUCUGGGGGGGCCCUGACGUGGCCGCCUCCUGGGCCCCCCAGGAGAAGAGGCUCACCCUGUGGGUACAUACAGGGAUCGCAGGGCCCCCUGCGACCCGGUAUGUACCCACUGAAUGUGGGGCCCGGACGACCUGAGCAGUCCGGGCCCCCCAGGACCGCCGGGCCCAUGACAACCGUUGCGGUUGUCAUGCCCUGAUGGCGGCCCUGCCUGUGGGUAUAGGUGGUUUUUCUGGACAGACAGUCCAUUAGUUCUCAUAUUUACUCACAUUAUUCCUGUGCUCUGGUUAUAAAUGCUGUAAUUUACAGACAGACAGACCUUAUAUUCAGAAUUCAAUUCCUUAUUGCUCCAACACAAUCUCCCAAAUAUAGAGCAUGUGGUUUGUGGGUCACCUGUUAAUUAUAGGUAUCAUUACAUUUUGCCAUGUACAGUUUAAAAUAACAAUUUUAAACAUGGGACAAAAACUAGGGACUUUGACUAGGGAUUCUCUGUAAAAUCCCGUGCAAUUUGGCAGCUAUGGUACUGUUUCUGCAAGGGAAACUGUGACGAGAACAGCUAUGAAUUUAACUAUAAAUUACGUUUCCAUUAUUAUAUUAAAACUGUGUGAAAAUAAUACAGGUUUACUUUAGUUCGCUUUCUCUUCUCCAUCAUUGCAGCUGUAUCUAUAUUUUACAAAUUGUUCUGAAAAUUUUCCUUUAACUUUUAAUGAAAAAAAAAGAAAACAAACCAGGUUUAUAUAACAGUUACUUCAAAUUACAAAGAAAAUAAAAAUAAACAGGCAAGAGAACGAUUAUUUUUAUUAUUUGCUUUUCAUUAGCGCCGACAUAUUUUAUAGCGCUUUAUAAUUUUAUUUUUUGGAUUUUACAGUAAAUAAAAUAUUAGAAAUGUUUACAGAAACAAGAGUUUAAUGGUGACCCUGUCGCAAUGAGCUUUCAAUCUAGACAAGGGGGAGGAUUAAAACACAAGAGAAAGGUUGAGUUUACAGUGAUAAAAAAUGUGUUUGGCAGGUUCAAAAAGUCAGUUUUUUAAUUGGUCCUAAUCCAGAACAGGCAUUUCUGCUUUUACAUGCCUAUAUACCUGUGUGACAUCUCCAGCCCAGUCUAUUACUGUAUAUUGGCCUGAGCAGCCCAUGACCAGGAGAGCAAGAGAUAAAGACAGUUCGGAAUGUUGAAGGAUUUUCUGUAUGUUACAGAGAGCCCAUGUUUGAUGUCUCGAUUAAGGCUUUGGAAUCUUAACUUUGUUGGUGUUAAACUCCCACCAAUAGGCAAGGUAAGCUCUCUAAUCAAUGUUCAGGAUGACUCUUACCUGGCUGAGACUGAUAUGAGCUAUAGUCCAGCAGCAGGUUGGAAUAAACUUUAGUUUAAGUCCCGCAUGACCCAUGAAGGGGGUUCAUUAUUAUUAUUAUUACCAUUUAUAUAGCGCCAACAGAUUCCAUAGCGUUUUACAAUAUUAUGAGAGGGCGGAUUUAACUAUAAAUAGGACAAUUACAAGAAAACUUACAGGAACGAUAGGUUGAAGAGGACCCUGCUCAAACAAGCUUAUAGUCUAUAGGAGGUGGGGUGUAAAAACACAAUAGGACAGGAAUUUGCAAUCUAACAAGGUGGGAGUGAAGCAGAGCUGGAGGAGAGAGUAAAGUGCUGCCCUUUAGGAGAGAGCAAGAGACAGGUAUGUGAGGUAGAGGUUAGUCUGGGAGGCAAUAAGCUUUCCUAAAGAGAUGGGUUUUAAGGCACUUCUUAAAAGAUGCAAGACUAGGGGAGAGUCUGAUGGCGGUAGGCAGGCUGUUCCAUGGGAAGGGAGCCGCCCGCGAGAAGUCCUGCAAGCGUGAGUUGGCCUUACAGGUGCGAACAACGGACAGGAGGUGGUCACAGGCAGAGCGGAGAGACCGAGAAGGGACAUACCUAUGGAUCUGUGAAGAGAUAUAAGAGGGGCUAGAGUUGUUCAGUGCUUUAUAGGUGUGAACUAGUACCGUGAACUGACCUUAUAGCAUCAUAUUUCAUCCUAACCCUGGUCAUAAACUGAGUUAAUGUUUGCAUUUAGGUUGCUGACAUUAGUAAAUAUGCACGUGGGAGUUUAUGGUUAGUGUGUUCUUUCUGUAAUUUCACUGUUUGUUUGAAGAAGUUCCACCUCACCGAUAAAUACACUUAAGGCUCGAUUUACUAAACGCUGUAUUUUUAAUCAAACGGCAGUGCUAAUGUUUGGGAGCUGAGCAGUCUGGCUGCUUGUAAAUUAACAUUUCCUCCAAACCUGAUUUAUAAACUGGUUAUAAACAUUUUGCAAAGCAAAAUGUUGUCUGUCAACCCCCACCUUCCCACUUGUCUGGUGUUGGUCUUCACUCUGCAGAGAAAUAAAUGAGAAAAAAAAGUCUACCAGUUCCUCUGCCUCUCUGCAGAAUGACUUUAAAUGCCCUCAUCCCCCCCAACAGAUGUUCAGAUAUAAACAGAGGUGGACAGAGUGUUUGGGAAGUCAGGCGUGAACAUAUUGUCCAAGGUUUGCACUGCCAAGAUCNNNNNNNNNNNNNNNNNNNNNNNNNNNNNNNNNNNNNNNNNNNNNNNNNNNNNNNNNNNNNNNNNNNNNNNNNNNNNNNNNNNNNNNNNNNNNNNNNNNNAUUGAGCUAUGUCUGCUAUAGAGUUCAAGGACCACCUUUCCCGUCCCCCAACUGGCCUGAUGUCUGUACGAGUCACACCCCUGCAGAUCCCAUGUCAAUAAAUCUGCUUCCUUCCCCCUAGGUUCCUAGAGCAGCAUGACCACAGCAUGGCUAUCUCUAAACAGCACCAGCACUCUGAGCACACUACAGUGCUUCUUUGCAGGAUUGCUGCCAGCACUUUAUGGUACGCAUUAUUCCCAAAAACGAACAUUAGUGUUAGAUUCCGGUGUAUUUUUUUUUGGAAGUAAAACUCCGAAAUUUGUGCAAAAGUUCCAAGCACUACUUUGCCAUAUGAUCUAUACAUUGUUAACUUCCUAAGUAUUAUGAAUAUCUGCAUUCAUUGUCCCCAUUGAAUACGCCGUUAUUUCAAAACGCAGGAAACAGACAGGAAAACAAGCUCCAAGUGCAGUUCAAGCUUCGAAAUAAAGUCCAUUUCCAGCUUUGUAUAAAAUAAGCAUCCUGUUAAAGACAUUAUGUAAUCUUAGUCUGCGCCACUAGCGUGAUUAGAUUCUUGAAAAGACGUUCUCAGUAAUAAGUGACCUUGCGGUGAUGAAUGUAUUUGGAAAAUAAAUAUUUGUAAUGGAAAUAAAUCCAUAUUCUUUUCUUUGGCUGUGUUUAGACAUUACUGAAUGGGUUUAACCUCUCCACUUAUCAUACUGAAAUGGGAGGAGAUAAAUAAACAUAGCAUUCCUUCUAGAUGUAUGGGAAAUAGUCUGUUUUGCAGAAAUACUAAAUUUACAAAUAGGCAGGUUUAAAUAAACAACACUUUGCCAUUCAGCGCAUGCUGUCAGUUACGGGCCAUAGAUUUCAGUGGGACUACCUUAUUAAUAGUCACCAAACGGACCUGCUAGACACACUAGCAAUUAUUAAACAAGACUACAAAACAUUCUAAGGAGGGAGCACAGGAAGGACCCAGACAGGUUAAAUAUUCUGUCUAAUUCCUAGAUAAUGACCUGCUUGCAUAUUGCUCUAGGUGUAAUUGUCAUCUCACAGUCACGCAGGUUACCCAGAAUUCUCACAAAUAAAUAUAUUGACAUGGAAUACAAAAUAAGAAAAUUAAUCAGAACACCCAGUUAUAUAAUAUAAUCACAUUAUGAUGUUCUCCUCACACCUGUCCGUGGGUGGCUGCGGAGGCAAUUAGGGUAAAACACAUUUACAGAAAACUGUCAAUCAUUCUUUUUUCGGCAUCUAUUGGGUUUGGUUUCUGUCCAUGGGAGAUUUUUAUAUUCUAUGCUGAUAAGGGAAUAUACAUAACAGGGCUCUAAAUAUUAUGAAAGAUAUUGUGUCCUGUAGAAUAUAAACUGUUAAACCUCCCCAAUAACAAAUAUAUUUAUUUAAGAUAGCCAAAUGACACAAAUCAAUAACUUUCUGUACAGUGUAAUUUCCUUGUUGCAAAGAACAAAUAUUGGGUCAUCAAUCAAACACAGUUACAAAAAAUAGGUAAAUGUGGGAUUUUGUCAAACGAGCUGUCAGUUAAAUAAACAUGUACAAGGGAGUAUCUACUGACCAGCCUCAUUUUGAUGGAAGCGAUCAAAAUAGCAAAAACUGGAUAAACUCACUAAGUCAGCUGUGCCUGGUCUUAAAGGGAUACUCCAGCACUGACUGACAGCUCAGCUCGCGGUCUUUGCCCGCCCCUUCUCCUCUGCUGACAGGCAGGAGAGAGAAGGCGCGCACACAGUGCCUUCUAUCUCCUGCACACAUCAGAUGUAUUUUAAUACGUCUGACGUGUACAUGGCCUUUUUACGGCCAUACAUGAUCGGAAGUCCCUCUGGUGGCCGUCUGAGUGACGGCCACUGGAGGUAUUCCUAUUAAUCAAUGUAAACACUGUAUUUUCACUGAAAAUACAGUGUUUACAUUAGAUUGCCCGUAGGGAGCUAUAAAUCUCACCUGAACAACUACAUUAAGCUGUAGUUGUUCACGUGACUAUAGUGUCCCUUUAAAUCUGAAAUUCACGUCAGUUGCAUCAAUAGACCCUGGUGACUAAGACGCACACAGUGGGGUUCAGCAGUGCUCUCUGCAUGGUCAAGUAAGUUGACACAAACAUGAUGCCAAUCUGGUUCACCCCGUCAGUGGGCAGUUCCGCCCACUUUCCAGGAAGACACGCUGAUUACGGGAUUUGGGUCACUGGACCUACCAUACUUACCUAUCCCGGUUCCAUACCUCCCAAUUUUGGGAUAUAUGCUAUGGCAUACUUUCCAAAAAAGUUUAUAAGGAACACUCUCUACUUUGGAUUGAAAUCCCUAUGUUCUAGGUCAGAGAUCCUCCUCUUACUUAGCAAGUGCAGAAAUGUAAACGUUAUAUAAUUACCAAUUCUUUGUAUUUAGCACUAGCAAUGAUUUACUAAUCAGUGUCUGAGUUGUAAGUAUAUUUCAUAAGCGCACAGAUAUAUUCACAAAUUACAACGCUUUAACAACUUCACAUUAAAAUAUGCUGUGUUGUGUUCUUUUAACACACUGUAUUGAGCAAGUGAUAUUUAUUGUAGGCAUCCAGUAUUCAUUUGUAUUUUUUUUUUUUUAAUUACUCACAACAUUCUUACUUUUAGCGAGACAGUCCAUUGUCGAGACACAAACGUGCUUGUGGUCCUGUCGGUAAAAGUCUGGACGGAUAGACUGUCAGUCAGGGUGACGCGUCCCGUCAGUGGGCAGACUUGCCCUUUUUCCAGGCAGACCUGCCCAUUAUGGGCAUCACUGGUGAUGUAAGCCAUGUCACUGGUGACAUCCCCUCAGAGCGCGGGCAUUAAUAUAAUGUAUGCAUGAUUUAAUAAAUUGUGCACUCAAUUUAAAAUAAUUUCAUUAGUUUGCUCCUCUGAGACUCUGUAUUUGUGCUAUUUAUACAGUAACCAUGUACAUUUUGAGACUGGUGCCCUAUAGAGUGUAGUAAAAAACACAUCAGGUGACAGGGCAAAGGCACUGUGUUAAUGUUUUCCUUAUUUAGCAACAGCUCUUAAACUUUGCCAUUAAUUUCCAUUUAAGUUGUUUGUUUUACAGUUACCCACAACUCCCCAGUGCUCUCAGUGCAUAUCUUAUCCACCCUUAAACCUAGACAUUAUCUCUCAGUAACAAGGAGUUUGAUUACAGAGCUCUGUGAGUUUUCGUCGGGGUAUGUAAAUAAUCAGAUGUGAAAUUAGGGGGUUCUGACAAAACAAGAAACUAUUGGGCUCCAUGACCAAAAAAAACAGAAUGCUUCUUGAAAUGUUUUGUAAAAUGUACAGGUGAGAAAUAGCCAGAGACUAGAUAAGAAAUAUUUAAUGUUAACGUUACUAACUUAUGGCGCAAAGCAGCCAUAUUGGAAGUAUAUUUGAGUAUUUUCAUUUGCCCUAACGAAGCCUGAAUUUUGCGGAUAAGUUGCCAUGUCAACAUAGUUAGUAUUUUAUUGAGUCAAGGAAAGGGGUUAAACCAGCUGUUGGAAAGAGAUUAGCUGCCGUGAAGAUUUCAUCCAAUAGACAAAAUGCGUGAGAGUUGAAUUUAAUAAAAAAAUAACACAGCAAAUGAGAUUAUCAACCUAGAAUGCAUGUGUAGGUCUCCAUUAACCAUUUCCAUUGUCUUAAGCACGGCUUGUGCUGUUGUCCAUUCAUGUAGCACAAGAACCGGGGUACACAUUUAGUACAUGCGAGUAUCGCGCAUGGUAGAGAGACACAAAAAGUUUAACAAAAAGGAAAGUACAAAUGGGGGGUGGAACAAGGAGACAAAUCAAGGUGCCCAAGAUACACCCACUUGUUGGAAAAGUCAACCGCUAUUCUUACUUGCUAUUCAUUUACUAGUUGUGUAUGGUGGCUUUACGAAUGAUAACUGUAGAUGGCUUGGCAAGUUUUCAUGGACAUAUAAAUGUGGCUCCCCAAAAAGUCAGUUUAUUACAUAUAAAAUCAUGAUAAAAGGAAUAUGCUGGAUCAUCGUACUGGCUCUCUAACAAUACUGACGACAGGAGCUGUAUAUUGUCUGUUGAACUGUUGAAGUGUGACCGAGUAAUUGCCCAGAAGGCAGUAUAUCAGGAUUGUCGAGAACAUUUCAGGGGAAACAGACCACAGAAAAUGUAACAAAACCAGCUACCUAUUCAGCGAGAUUAACUUGUGAAAGUAAUGGACAUUAAUGAUAGAAAUAGAUUGGGCCCAUUUGUGUCCACAUUUAGGGAUUGUCAUUAUAACAUGCAUCAAAAGUCCAUCAUUAUAACCAGACAAGUUAGGACUUAGAAGAAGACAGGAAUACUGAAUUUUUAUCAUUCCCUUUAACAGGGAAUACAAUCUCCAUUUCUUUUAUAUUCCCUGUUUCUUUGUAGUCUGCUUUAGUAGCAUCUGACACUAUGUCUGUGUCCAGUUUGCUGUGUUUUGAUCAUUAUUGGGGGACCAUCAUGUGGUGUUCGAUUUUUUUCUUUGUUUUCUUCCAAAUACUUAUGUGUGUGACUUUCUCCAUGAAUAGUAAUACUUGCAUUUACUGAAUGUAUAGCCCGUCAGUUGUGAUACGUACAUGGAUUACGGGACUGGUGGUUGCCCCGUUAAACAAAGUUCUGUCCUGUGCCCUUAUUUUUGAAUGCAGUGUCAUUGCUUUGUUUCUGUCCAAUUCUGUGAUAGUAGUGAGCGUGUGGGUGGAUUGAGUUGUGUAAUGACAGUAUGACACGCACAGGAUAUCAGAAAGUUGUGCUAACAGAUGUAUGCCGAAUGGACCUGGCUGCUGGCCAUGACUGCGUGUACCAGAGUACAUAUCUCUACAUAAACUGUAACAGAAUAAGGGAUUGUUUAUUUAAACCCGGUUAUCACACGCCAAUUUAAAGGGCAGGAUACUUCACGUUGGUAUUAGUAUCAGAGCUCCUACAGAUCUAGAUAAGUAUCUUUAUAGCUCUUGGCACUCUAAUCGUUUUGGACUCUGCUUCCAAUAUUGCUCAGUCAGGAAAGUCUGCAUGUGGUAUGUGUAUUUUUUGGGCUCUGUCUUGUCCCUGCAAAUGUGGAAUUAGUGGUAUGUUUGCACUGUGAAGCUUGAAUAGCAUACCUCCCAACAUUUCAAAUGUACAAACACAUGCAAUUUAAGUUUAGGGGUGUGAGUGUGGAGUGUGGCCAGGGGCGGGGCUCUACUGUGAAAGUUUAAAGUAAGACUGAAUUCGCAAAGUCCUCCAACGAUUACAUUAUCGCUGGUGGUCCAGUGACCGACGUGGGCAGGAAAAGGUGAGUUUACUUACCGUAACGUGACUCUCGCGGGCAUUGCCGACAUCACCGCUGUACUCCCACGCUUGCACAAGAGGACAGCAUUGAGGUCCAUGGGGGAUCCCACGAGACUGCAGGAUCCUCCAUACACAAAGCUAAUUCCCUGAUGACAGCUACAGGGAUUGACACUUUGCUCAAUACUUUCUCUCAGUAUUUCUCGUGACUGGGUUGGCGUUUCAGUGAAAUUCUAACACAGUCAUAAUGAGUAUUUCAUAAAGAUUCUAUCAAUAUGAAAUACUAGUUUUUCAGAGGGGAUGACAGUUCCGCUUUAAGUAAAUAAAAUGUAAUGUAGAACAAAAACAAUGUAUCUUAUUACACAGACUGAUUUCUAAAAACAUUUAUUGUAGUUUAAAGACACAUUACUGGGAGUAUUAUUGCUGUGGAGCCCUGUUAUACACUCAGACACAUUACUGGGAGUGUUAUUGCUGUGGAGCCCUGUUAUACACUCAGACACAUUACUGGGAGUGUUAUUGCUGUGGAGCCCUGUUAUACACUCAGACACAUUACUGGGAGUAUUAUUGCUGUGGAGCCCUGUUAUACACUCAGACACAUUACUGGGAGUAUUAUUGCUGUGGAGCUCUGUUAUACACUCAGACACAUUACUGGGAGUAUUAUUGCUGUGGAGCUCUGUUAUACACUCAGACACAUUACUGGGGUAUUAUUGCUGUGGAGCUCUGUUAUACACUCAGACACAUUACUGGGAGUAUUAUUGCUGUGGAGCUCUGUUAUACACUCAGACACAUUACUGGGAGUAUUAUUACUGUGGAGCUCUGUUAUACACUCAGACACAUUACUGGGAGUAUUAUUGCUGUGGAGCUCUGUUAUACACUCAGACACAUUACUGGGAGUAUUAUUGCUGUGGAGCUCUGUUAUACACUCAGACACAUUACUGGGAGUAUUAUUACUGUGGAGCUCUGUUAUACACUCAGACACAUUACUGGGAGUAUUAUUACUGUGGAGCUCUGUUAUAACACAUUACUGGGAGUAUUAUUACUGUGGAGCUCUGUUAUACACUCAGACACAUUACUGGGAGUAUUAUUGCUGUGGAGCUCUGUUAUACACUCAGACACAUUACUGGGAGUAUUAUUGCUGUGGAGCUCUGUUAUACACUCAGACACAUUACUGGGAGUAUUAUUACUGUGGAGCUCUGUUUUACACUCAGACUCAUUACUGGGAGUAUUAUUACUGUGGAGAUCUGUUAUACACUCAGACACACCAACAAUUUGGAGCUCCAAGAAAAAAGGGACAUUAGGAGAGAAAAGAGGGACAGAGGGAUAGUGGCCCAAAAUAGGGGCUGCCCCUCCUAAAUAGGAACAUUUGGUGGGUAUGGUAUAGUGAUCGAUGUAUCUAAAUUGCUGGGAUAUUUUUUUAUCUUUUAAUGAUAGGCCACAUGCCUGAAGAAAGAAUGUCUGAUCUCUAAAUCAAGGACAGUUUCCAACUUGAUUGUAUUCUGACUGCAUAAACCAAGGAUACAUUUCAGCAUUUAUGUGAUUAAUCAUUUAUUGGAAGUACAAUGUGCUGCUGCUAUUUAUCUAGAAUGUGCAAGGCAAACACUGUCUGCUUACUUACAACUUCAUGUGCGUAAAUACCAUAUAGUCUUUGAAUGUAAUGGGUUCAGAUGCAUGCCACAUACCUGCCACAUACCUGCCACAUACCUGCCAAGACUCCCAUUUUGAAAGGACAGAUCACUCCUCUCCUUUCUACCUCUAGUUCCCAAUUAUCUAGAAAAAAAAAAAAGGAAAUGAGCGUGGGGCAAAACCACCACAUGAAUUCCUUAAUCAUGCUCUACUGCUCUUCAGGGAACAGCAAAAAUCACACCGAUAAAAACAGUAUUAAAAAUAUAAAUAAAGUUGUGCAUCAUACAUACAUGUUUCUUACAUGUACUCUAGGAUUUCGAUAUCACCAAAACAUGCCUCUCACUAGUCCAUUUAAAGGAACACUCCAGACACCAUACCCACUACAGCAUGCUGUAAGUGUUUUUUGGUUCCUUGGUGCCAACUGUCUUAUCACCUGUGUCUAAACACUGAGCUAAACCUGCAGUGCAAGGCUUAGAUCAUUGGUGGAAAGCCAUCAGCUGACACUCUCAGACUCAGACAAUGGGCUGACCUUGCACUGCAAAGCUUAGCUCGGGAGAGCUAAUGAAAGCUCCUGGUAGUACUUUGCAGGACUCAGUACCAGAAGCCACGAAACAAGGAGCAGACCAAAGGUUAGUUGUCAAAGUCGCAAGGAAACGAUAUGACUACUUACAUUGGCGUUGUACCAGAGCACUCCAUUGGGGGUUCGCCAGUGUGAUGUAGUUGGAGUGUCCCUUUAAGUGGGAUGUGUCUGUUUUUGGGAUACCAGUAUAGUUUCCUGAUGUCCUGUAUCCGGGGACACCAAAGAACUGUCCCCAGCCAGCACAUCAUUAGAUAUACUCACUCUGUACCGAGGGCCCUGCUGAACACUUUAUAUGUUUUAUUUAAAUAAAAAACAACAAUAAAAGUAAUAACAUAUAAAGCUUCCAGCAGAAAAGUAACUUCACAAAGAUCCUUAGUAACAAUUUCUAUGAAUAAGGAUACAACAAAUGAGGCUUUUUGAUAUGUUGGAAGUGCAAGAGUUAAAUGUUACAGCAUGACAGGUGAAUUGCCUCUCGAAAAUGUAAUAAAAAAAUUAGUAUCAAGAAGAGGAUCUCACAUAUGGCAAUCAGAAAGUAUCUGCCUUAGUAAAUACUGAUUAAACCAAGUAGGGUACAAGGUUUAUUGGUGGGAAAACAUAUGUUCUUUCAGAGCCUAUUACACAACUCUGAAGUGUGCAAGUCAUCAGAAGGGGAAGAUGUCUCGUACUACAAUUUAUUUAUACAGUUAUCCAUUAAAGGACCACUAUAGUGCCAGGAAAACAUACUCAUUUUCCUGGCACUAUAGUGCCCUGAGGGUGCCCCCACCCUCAGGGUCCCCCUCCCGCCCGGCUCUGGAAGGGGGAAAGGGGUAAUAACUUACCUUUUUCCAGCGCUGGGGGAGAGCUCUCCUCCUCUCUCUCCUCCUUCUCCUCCCCUGGGCUGAAUGCGCACGCGCGGCAAGAGCUGCGCGCGCAUUCAGCCCGUCGCAUAGGAAAGCAUUUACAAUGCUUUCCUAUGGACGCUUGCGUGCUCUCACUGUGAUUUUCACAGUGAGAAGCACGCAAGCGCCUCUAGUGGCUGUCAAUGAGACAGCCACUAGAGGAUUAGGGGAAGGCUUAACCCAUUCAUAAUUAUAGCAGUUUCUCUGAAACUGCUAUAAUUAUGAAAAAAUGGGUUAACCCUAGAAGGACCUGGCACUCAGACCACUUCAUUAAGCUGAAGUGGUCUGGGUGCCUAGAGUGGUCCUUUAACAAAUCAACUAGGAAACAUUACUGUGACAUUAAGUAUUUUGUUGAAAAUGUUUUAGAUUCAUCACUUCCUUCACAAACUAUCAGCAAGUAUUAAAGGAACACUACAGUGUCAGGAAUACAAAUUUCCAUUCCAGACACUAUAUUUCUAAAUAGCUUUUCGGACCCUCCCUUACCUCCAGUUAAAAAGGUGAUUUACUCAUCUUUAUUCCCCGCCCAUGCUCCACCCCCACUGAGCACUGACCAGGAAGCACGUCUAGUGGCCGCCUGAGUGACUGCCACUAAAGGUGUCCCUCGGCACCAAUGCAAAUACUGCCUUUUCACUGAAAAGACAAUGUUUGUAUUAAAAAGCCUUCAGAGACUGGCUAAAUUCACCAGAAUAACUACAUUAAAGGACCACUAUAUUAUGGACUUAUUUCCUAUUCCUUGAUCUAUUCAAUCUUAUUUAUUCUUUAUACUAUUUAGGCGAGACAUUCCCUAAUUUUGGCCCAAUUUUUGGCUCAAUAUUGUUUCAAUGUCUGAGUGUAUAACAGAGCUCCACAGCAAUAAUACUCCCAGUAAUGUGUCUGAGUGUAUAACAGAGCUCCACAGCAAUAAUACUCCCAGUAAUGUGUCUGAGUGUAUAACAGAGCUCCACAGCAAUAAUACUCCCAGUAAUGUGUCUGAGUGUAUAACAGAGCUCCACAGCAAUAAUACUCCCAGUAAUGUGUGUGAGUGUAUAACAGAGCUCCACAGCAAUAAUACUCCCAGUAAUGUGUCUGAGUGUAUAACAGAGCUCCACAGCAAUAAUACUCCCAGUAAUGUGUCUGAGUGUAUAACAGAGCUCCACAGCAAUAAUACUCCCAGUAAUGUGUCUGAGUGUAUAACAGAGCUCCACAGCAAUAAUACUCCCAGUAAUGUGUCUGAGUAUAUAACAGAGCUCCACAGCAAUAAUACCGCCAGUAAUGUGUCUGAGUGUAUAACAGAGCUCCACAGCAAUAAUACCCCCAGUAAUGUGUCUGAGUGUAUUAUUGCUGUGGAGCUCUGAGCUCCACAUCAAUAAUACUCCCAGCAAUGUGUCUGAAUGUAUAACAGAACUCCACAGCAAUAAUACUCCCAGUAAUGUGUCUGAGUGUAUAACACAGCUUCACAGCAAUAAUACUCCCAUUAAUGUGUCUGAAUGUAUAACAGAACUCCACAGUAAUAAUACUCCCAGUAAUGUGUCUGAGUGUAUAACAGAGCUCCACAGUAAUAAUACUCCCAGUAAUGUGUCUGAGUGUAUCGCAUGCUCCACAGCAAUAAUACUCCCAGUAAUGUGUCUGACCGAAUAACAGAGCUCCACAGCAAUAAUACUCCCAGUAAUGUGUCUUUAAACUGCAAAAAAUGUGAUUUGAACUCAGUCUGUGUAAAUGUGUCUGUAAAUAUAUAUAUAUAUACACACACACAUAAUUGGCACAAACCUAGCAAACAUAGGUGCCAAAUAUCCUAAUUUAGCAAUGAGAGUCCCUCAUUUUGGUGUACUGUCCCAGCAAAAAUAGGUCCCUGGGACCUGUCUGGCAUUUUUAUAUCUGCUAGCAGGAGGGGACAGGGCACUUGGAGCAUGCACAGAGUAAUUCAGUAGCUCUUGGUACACGGUCUGUUUGAGGAGCAGGCUGUCAGUCAGUGAUAGGCAGGUUUGCCCAUUUGAUGUCCCACCCUUGCUCUGUGCAGCCUGCUUUUUUCUCUACCAACCUCCUUCCCAGAAGGUGAGCCAAGAGUGUACGGUACAAAUAAAUCCUAAAUGGAUCACUUUGAUCACAGCUGUUGCAGUGGUGCGGUUUCUGAAAGUAAUAAUGCUGCAUAUGUGUAGAUGUUAAAAGGCUUUAUUCACAUACCAGGAACUGAUCAAUAAAUAAGAAUUAAUGAGACAUUUCUGAUUUUAGCCCAAACUAGCUGAGCUACAAAAUAUCUGAAAAAAGAAAGAUUUCGGCACACAGUUUGAGUUACCCGGAUCAGUUCUGGAUAAUUCUUCAAUUACUGAAUCAACUCUUAAGUAUGGUGUAAUCACAGUUCUCCCCUCAGCAAUACUUCCCCCCAUAGUCCCCCUGGGACACUUCCUACAUAAAGCAGGAUUGCCAGAGUAACAUAGAGCUGACCAAUAUAUUACUCAUUACUUUAACCUUUUAGACGUCUCACGAUGAGCUUUAAAACCUUCGAACCUCGCUGUCACAUUAUUCUAUUAUUCUUAUGGGCUCUGAUAUAAUCAUAAUCCUUCCUUCCCCCUAGUCUCAAAGGAUUAGAUUUUUUUUUAGAUUUAUGCCUGUUUCGGAAAUUGGUAGAAAAAAUAAAUAAAUCGAAUUACAUUUUUUUAGUUGCAAAUGCAAUGUAUAAUGUUGGCGUUUAUGAUACUGGUGCUGGAGAGAAACUGUAGCAUGAGAGAGGCUUGUGUUACCAAAUAACAGGUCACCAGAGGGGAAAAAACAACUGAAGAGUAGCAUAGCAGACUACAAUAAGGACUGUCCCUGCAGACUGGAGACUGUUGGCAAGUAUGUGACCAGACAGACAGCUGAGACACUAUAAGCAAUAUAACGUCUAUGGCAACAUUGUAGUGGCUAUGGUGCUAGGAUACUGUGGUAGCUCUCCCCAGUUCCCCAGGCUCCUAGAGCCAAGCCCAUCACUCAGCAUAUUACAUUAGCAAUGUCAGAUUUGGAAGGCCUGUUCUAUACCGCUUGCAUCCAAAGGGUGUACGCAGAUAUUGUAUAUGAACUAUUAGCAAAUAAUUGUUUCAGAUUAUUUAGGUUUGAAACAAAUCCAGUUUUUGAUACCGGAGAAACUGACGGAAGCAAAGCACAGAGAGAUAGACACAGGUUUCUUCAGGAAGGAAGAGAUUCUUUAUUGGAUCACCGAUCGGGACUCAGAGGGACUAAUGUCACCAAAAAUACAGCAAGUUCUGAGCCCUGAACAAUAGUGCAGGCUCCCUAUAUAGGCACAUAACUCCUCCCAUAUUAAGCUCCACCCGCACAUUCUCUUGACCAAUCAUUACAAAUAAGAAUUAACUUCCUGCUUGACCGCAUGGCUUGUCCAGCACAAUGGAGGAGGGGAAUACUACAUCCUGUAUUCUUGCACAUGCUCCGUACACUACUGAUCGUAUCUUGCCUCGUGCAACCAACUGAUCGAUACGUCAGCAUAUGCACGUACACAUGCCACGUGGUAAUCUCGGCCUACUAAAUUUAUUUUUACCGAGAUUCCACCACAUUCCCCCCUUUGAUGCCUCUUGAUAUUUUACAAUUACUUGAGGCAUCACUUAACCUUGGUUUGCAUACACCACAAGUUACCUUUGAACCAGACCAGACUUAUCCUAUGAUGUGAAUCUUCAACACUCGUCUUCCUGCAUUGGUUCUCCCUGAUCUAGAGCCUUAUAUUUAUAAAUUGCCAUUAUCUGUGCAGCAGCCUUCCUCUCUGCUAUAUUUUCUAUCAGGCUUUGCACAGACCUAACUACUAAGGGUAUAAGACACGGCAGGAGUAGACACAACAUUAAAAUCAGUAGGACUCCACCUACCACUGCCUUAAGCCCUUCAAACCACUCAUACCAGCUACCAAACCAACUACUUGGAUUGUACCCUUUCCAUACCUGAGUAGGCACAUGCGCUAGUUUAACCAUAUGGCUAGUAAGCUCAGCUAUUGCUUGCCCUUCGUCAUCUAUUUGAAGACAGCAAUUGCUCACGUUAAACUUCCCACAUACACCUCCCUCUACUGCCAAAAGAUAAUCCAAGGCUAAUCUAUUUUGGUAAACUGCUGUCCUCAUCCUGGUAUUAUGCUUCGCUAGAAGAUUGAGCGCUUGUGAUGUCUCAUUAGUAAUGAUCUCAACCACCGCCUGUAACCUUAUAAUGCGGUUGAGCAUAUAAAUAGGGGUUCUAUAACCAAAGGUACCAUCCUCUGCCCACGUGGCUGGCCCAUAAUAAUCUAUAAUACGCUGGGAGGCCAUUCAUUAUCUUCCCAGGCACCUAUCUCUAUGGGUCCCCUUUUCUUCCUAUGAUUCACAUCAUACACUUUAACACCUAAAGUCUCACCUGUUUCAAUAGGCAACAAGAAGGAUGGUUUUAACAUACCCAACACACAUGCCCCUUCCCAGUCCUGUGGUAACUCCGAAUAGGCCUUCUUGCCACAGAUCCAGUACAAAUUCGCUGGGGCUCUCCAGUUAGAUGUGAUGGAUAGAUCAAACCAUACGUCCUUUAAAUUGGCAUAUCUUGCAAACGGGUUAGAUGGUUCUGAGACAUUUGAAGCCGACCACCAAGUUAUAUUCUUUGUAUCAUCAUCAUAAGCUUUUUGCCCUAGACAAGUUAAUUCUCCUACAGAAGUAUUAUACAUCAUUCCUUUCCUCGCUAUGCAAACAUAACCUAUGAUGGAGGUCUUCAAUCUCCUCUCAGAUUUACCUCUAACACUCAUAUGAUAGUCGGCUUGUGUAGAUAUUAAUUGGUCAACUGCCUCAGAACCGGACAUUACCUCCUUUGCUUCCCAAGGCCAUUGGUCUCCCAUGUUAGUACCUCCACACACAUAGCAGUUGGUAACAUUAAGACUACCGGCAAUACUUUCGGCUAAAUCAAUGAACAAGUUUUUAGCAUUAUGGGGGAUCUUAUUAUCUAUGCUCAUCUCUUCAUAAAAGGAAUGGUAUACUUGAUGAGUUUGGGAGGUUACCGUCUCAGUCUCUAUCCCUAUAAACAAUAUUGUCCCAGGGUCUAAACCCGUCCCAUAUAUUUGAAACCCAAAUAAAUUACCAUAUUUAUCUAAGAACUUGUCAGGGUUAUUUAUAAGUAUAUGGAUUGGAUUGCAUUCCAUAGACUUACAAUAUGGAUCAGUAGGCAACUUAGUCACAAUCAUGUCCUUGUCUGCUGUCUGUCCCCAAGUUGCCCACCCCACACAAGACCAAUAUGGGCAGAAGUUAUAAUCUCUAUUUGGGCAUCUUGGACUUACAUAUUUAUUUUUACUACUGGGACAAAUAUAUUUAUCGUUAGACCCAUACGUCCUCUCCCAUCUAAGAUCCCCUCAUACAUUCCACGGCUUUCUACCACUUGAUAUUGCUUUACACGCAUCAAAUAGCAGAGCACCUGAAGAAUAUACGGAUUCUAAUACCGUCUUAAUAAUUAGGGUCCCCUGAGGAUCUCCAUUUCUGAGAGUCAACCAAAUUGUACGGGGUUGAUACUCAGGACUGAAGCACUUAGGUUCUCCUACUCCUAAAUGACACACACUAUAUUCUAUAUUUAAGUAUCUACAUCUUGAUACAUCUCCUUUACACUCAUAUUGCGAAUGCCAAAUUAGGGUCUAGGAUAUAUGGUUACCUGUUCUUGUAGUCUUAAUGCAUACCUCACAGCUAGGAGUGUCGGUACCUCUACCUUCCUGAAUAUAAAAAUACACAUAAAUAAACAUUAUUAAAAAUACAUCUUUCGUCAUCAUCCUCAGUCUUCGUCCGUGCGAAGGCACCUCAGCUUCCAGGAUGUAAGGACUGCAGGGAAUGGAGUUCUGCUCGUCUUCACAGGGGUCCCCUCAAGACUUUCCCUGACUUAUACGCUCGUUGGUGAGUGGACAGGCUUUAUUAUGGCCUUCUCACUCACUUACCAAGUCUCUGAAACAAUAAAAUUUGUAAUCCACAAGGUUCCUCGUCACUCCGACUGAGUCAUGCGUUUUAACCGGAUCUUGCAGGGAUUCUCUGGAUUUGCUGUAACUUGCCAGGAAUCGGCUGCUGCUGGUUUAACCCUGGAGUGAUGUAUCCACGGAGCCACCUCGGCUACUUUUAUCGCUGUAGGGGUAGACAGAAGAACAACAUAAGGACCUCUCCACUUGGGCCCUAACGGCACAUUAUUCCACUCUUUAAUCCACACUUGGUCGCCUGGGUGGUAACUAUGAAUUGGGGGAUAAAUAUUCACAGGUAAUCUAUCUUGUACCCAUUUCUGUAACUCCUCCAUAGUCUUACCCAACUCUACAACCUGCUGCCGGGUAAUUCCUUCUCCCAACUGACUCAAAUCCCCCCUUAAGUUACCAAGCACGGGAGGUGGUCGCCCGUACAUGAUUUCAAAAGGAGAGAGGCCCAUCCUUCUGGUAGGUGUACUACGGAUUCGCAAUAGAGCUAUGGGCAAGAGAACGUUCCACUUAAGUUGGGGUUCCUGACACAUUUUAGCCAACUGAUUCUUAAUAGUUCUAUUCAUUCUCUCUACCUUACCAGAACUCUGGGGUCUAUAUGCCGUAUGAAGCCUCCUUUUUAUACCAAGCAUAUGAGUCAAUUGUUGUAGGCACUGAUGAACAAAAGCUGGACCAUUGUCCGAUCCUAUAGAGCAGGGUAGUCCAUAUCGGGGUAUUAUUUCUCGUAGCAGGAAUCUCACGACUUCUCCUGCUUUCUCUGUACGAGUAGGACAUGUUUCUACCCAGCCUGAAUAGGUGCACACCACUACCAGCAGGUAGCGAUGUCCACCCGAUUUAGGCAUCACUGUAUAGUCAAUUUGUAAAUCGGACAUGGGAAGUCCCCCCAUAAACUGAACUCCUGGUGGCUUUACUGGUCCUUGUCUUGCAUUAUUUUUAGCACACGUUACACAUCUACGUACAAUGGCCUGAGUCAAGUUGGACAAUCUUGGUAUGUAGAAAUGUUUUCUGAGAGAUUCUUCUGUACUGUCUCUCCCAGAAUGUGUCCCGUUAUGAUAGUUUUGGACAAUUUCUACAGCUAGUGAUGCUGGAAUAACUAUUCUUCCAUCUUCUAACUGAUACCAUUUGUUCUCCAAAUACUUUCCAGGUUCAGUCCUUAACCACUCCUCUUCUUGAGCUGUAUAAAUUGGAGUCCAUUGAGACAGUGGAGUUGGUAUAAGAGCAGCUAUAUGCCCCACAUAUUCCUGUCUUCCUGAUUCAGCGGCACGCUUAGCUGCACUAUCUGCCAUCCGAUUCCCUUUGGUUACAUCACCAUCUCCUCUCAGAUGCGCCCGACAAUGUAUAAUACCGACUUCUUUCGGCUCCCACACUGCUUCCAAUGGUUGUAGGAUCUCAGCUGCGUAUUUGAUUUCUUUGCCUUCUGAAUUCAAUAGUCCUCUUUCUUUAUACAAAGCUCCGUGGGCAUGAGUGGUUAAAAACGCAUACUUGGAGUCCGUGUAGAUGUUCACUCUUAAGCCUUCAGCCAAUUGUAACGCUCGUGUCAGUGCUAUCAAUUCUGCCUUUUGUGCUGAUGUUCCUUUUGCCAGUGGCCGAGCUUCUAUCACCUUGUCUAUCGUUGUUACUGCAUAUCCUGCAUAGCGGAUCCCUUCUUUUACAUAACUACUGCCGUCGGUGUAAUAUUGAACAUCAGGGUUCUGGAUGGGAAAAUCACGAAGAUCUGGUCUACUUGAAAAUACUUCAUCCAUUACUUCCAAACAAUCAUGUUGACUUUCAGUAGGUUGUGGCAAAAGGGUAGCUGGAUUUAAGGUAUUUACAGUCUCUAAAUGCACUCUUGGGUUUUCACACAACAUUGCUUGAUACUUGGUCAUACGGCUGUUACUAAACCAAUGAUUUCCUUUGUAAUCCAACAACGUCUGUACUGCAUGUGGAACUCGUACAUAAAGUUCUUGACCCAGAGUGAGUUUAUCGGCUUCAGCUACUAGCAGGGCGGCUGCAGCUACGGCUCUUAGACAAGGUGGAAGUCCGCUGGCCACUGCAUCCAGUUGCUUAGACAUGUAGGCAACAGGUCUUUGCCAUGAUCCCAAGUACUGUGUCAAUACUCCCACAGCCAUUCUUCUUUGCUCAUGUACAUACAGGUAGAAUGGCCGUGUGUGGUCAGGUAGACCUAAUGCUGGGGCACUCAUCAAAGCCCUCUUCACAUCUUCGAAUGCCGUUUGCUGUUCUUGAGUCCAUAAGAAGGGGUCGUGCUCUGUACCUUUGAUAGCUGCAUACAGAGGUUUUGCCAGUAUCGCGUAGCUGGGAAUCCAUAUCCUACAGAAGCCUGCUGCCCCCAAAAAUUCUCGCACUUGUCUUCUAUUCCUGGGUAUCGGUAUUUGGCACACAGCUUCUUUUCUCUCUGGCCCCAUAAUUCUUUGACCUUCAGAGAUAUGGAAUCUCAGAUAUUUGACAGUUGGCAAACACAACUGAGCCUUCCUUCUAGACACCUUGUAUCCUGCCUUCCAGAGAAUGUGUAGUAGAUCGUGCGUUGCUUGCUGACAUACUUCCUUUGUAACUGCUGCUAUCAACAAGUCAUCUACAUAUUGUAAUAAUACACACUCUCCUGGGAUAGACUCGAAAUCUAGUAGAUCUUGACUUAGAGCUGAACCAAAUAGGGUAGGUGAAUUUUUUAAACCCCUGGGGCAAUCUUGUCCAGGUCAUUUGGCGUUUCGAGCCCGUUACAGCAUUUUCCCAUUGGAAAGCGAAGAUACAUUGGCUUUCUGCGGCAAUUUGGAGGCAAAAGAAGGCAUCUUUGAGAUCUAAGACUGUAAAGUAAGUAGCCCCGCCCGGAAUUAAAGCAAGCAGGUUAUAUGGAUUGGGCACGACUGGAUGUAUACUAACAAACGCAUCAUUGACUGCUCUCAAGUCCUGCACAGGUCGAUACUCAUCUGUACCGGGCUUUUGAACAGGCAGCAAUGGGGUGUUCCAGGGGGAAGUACAGAAUUUUAGGAUACCAUACCGUAUGAACUUAUCCAGAUAAGAUUGGAUGUUCUUCUUAGCCUUCUGCGGAAUAUGAUAUUGUCUCAGGCUUACUGGAUAAACCCCAAUUUUUAGUUCGAUUUUAAUAGGUGGAAUAUUGCGGGCCAGUCCUGGUGGGUUGUUCUCUGCCCAAACUCCUGGUAUGUUAAAUAAGGAUUCAUCACUCCUCGGGUUUUGGCUAGUCAACACUGUAUAAAGUCGCCACUCUUCUUCCUUUGGUACGGACAAUGUCAUAAUACCUGAAGGUCCAUUAAACUUUAAGGAUGUUGUUCCAUUUGGUAGGAACGUAAUCUGCGCUUGUAAUUUGGAUAGCAUAUCACGUCCAGCAAUUGGACUGGACACUNNNNNNNNNNNNNNNNNNNNNNNNNNNNNNNNNNNNNNNNNNNNNNNNNNNNNNNNNNNNNNNNNNNNNNNNNNNNNNNNNNNNNNNNNNNNNNNNNNNNUAAUAUUUUGGAAAGUAUUUCAAUAUUUUAAUAAUUUUUGACAUGUUGAUAAAUAUUUUUUUAUCAAUUUAUAUAUUUUUAGAUAUUUUAAGAUAUUGAAACAAUAAUUUUAAAAGUUCAGCCAAAAUUAUUGAAUAAUUUGAAAAUCUUAGCCAAAAAAUAUUAAACUAAGGCCAUAAUCCUGACAAUUCUUACAUUUCAUGAUUGUAUGAAUGAAUAACGAUGCUGCUCAUCUUCUGUUUAAGUAAGAAAUAUAUAUAUACUUUUAUGGAGUCACUUCGGUACCAUUAUGAAUAAAGGACUGUUUCAUGCUCUCUUCGUGAAAUUGCAUUUUGAGAGGGAGGAGUGAAGACAGGUUGCUUCAAAAAGCUAUGAGCAAUUUAUAGGUCAUUCUUUAUUUUUAAAAUUCCUAAUUUUAUUUUUUUUAAAACUCCUCUCUUACCUGGUACACGCAGACACAAUAAUUAUUGCAGUGCUGUCUGGUUAUCCUCCAAUGGUUGACUAUUUUCUACCUGUUUAAAACCAUGUAUCAAUAUAAACAUUCUCAGUAAAGGGGCAGGAAUUCAUCCUUAGUAAAUUGUACCUUAACUGCUUCCCCCCACCCAUGAUUUUCUGGGACCAAACUUUGUUUCAGUAGGUGAGAGAGAACACUUGAUGCUAGGGGGUGCUCUUUCUCACUGUAAGUGACUUACUGGCAUCGUGUUUAUAAUAGCUGGGGUUAGAACACUGAAGAUAGAAGUCACAUUGUUUAGUAAACGUUCAGAUAAACACGUAUUCAUUUAAUAUUUGUUUAUUUUCACUUCUUCCUCAAUUCCCAUCGUCUGGGAAGUUAGACAGGUACUUUAUUGUUCCCAGAGAAUUAAAUUUUUAUUUACCCUAGAAGACUGCGUGACUGCUUGUGUUUAUUUCUUUAAGUACGGUAUGACAAUCCUUGGCAUCACAAAUCGUUUUGCGUUAAUGCCCCUUGAUUGCCGUUUUAGUGAGAGCAAUGUUAGAUCCCUUCUGGCACAGUUGAGCUCUAAUUAUAACAUUUGAUACUUGGGACGAGCUAGGUCCAAAUGGGUUUCAUUAGUAUCACCAAUUUAGACGGAUUUAACGUGUGCAAAGCUCAAUGUGUAUAUAUAUAUUCAGACAUCAAUCAUGUAAAACAAAUUCCGGAAUUUUAUGAAAUUCCAUUGAAAAGCAGAUUUAAAGAACACUCUAACCAGCCUAACCUCAAAAUUCAUAUUUAAGUCCAGUCAGCCUCCUAUAUUUGAUAGCAGAGCUUCAGGAUCAGUUAUAGAGGGUGUAAAACUCAGUGCUGUCCCGGUUCCUCCAGAGUCGGUGUGUGAGGCUGUAAAAAUAAAAGAAGAUACCGGUCACUUUAGGGUGCACAGACCCUGGAUCCGUCCCUAACCAACAAUAAUAUAGAAAAAAUAAGAAUGUCCAGCACAAACCCUUAAGUCUGCAGAUCCUUUAUUAAGAUGCCAAAGAAUAAAGGUGACGUUUCGGCCACGCACGGUCUAUCUUAAACUAGAAAAGAUGUAGGUAAAUAGAUCUCUAACUGACAAAGGGGUAGAGUACCACCCUCAAUUACCUUAAUGAAGAAGUAUAACGUGCUCAUGAGAUCAGGUGAUAAAAAUUAGCAAUUCAAUUAAACCCCUUAAGGACACAUGAUGGAAAUAUUCCGUCAUGAUUCCCCUUUGUUUCUGAAGUUGUGCCCUUAAGGGGUUAAUGCUAGGUUUAAUUUGUAUUGUACCCCAAUACUAGAUUUCACAACUCUAGCCCUAAAUUCAAUCAUUCUAAACACCCUUAGUACAACUUGAACCCCUUGAGUACAACUUGAACUUGUUAAUCUUCUUGUCACCCAAUGUAAUUAAUCUCAUAAUUUAAACCCCUCUCUGCCUUAAACCACCCUUUACCAUAACCACUUUAUUAUCAGGCAAUCUGAGCGAAUCAGAACAAAUGCACAAACCGUUGUUUUAUAAAGAGACAGUGAAAUAGUAAUAUUCAGCCGUUUCCUUCCACUAAUUAAUAAUACAUUCUCAAAAAAAAAAAGAAAGAAAAGAGUAAUGCUAUACUACCAAGCCGUUAACCCAUUCACUACCAAUUUGCAAAACACAUGAUCCGCCCCGGGUGCCAAAUGCUCUAGGUACGACCUUACCACAAGUGACCAUAGGGACUGCACUCAAUUCCGACAAGAACACCAGCAAAUGCACAGUGUGCAAAUAGCAAGCAAGUUUAUUGGGACAGAACAACGUUUUGACCUAAUGCAUGGUCUUUGUCAAGCUGAUCAAGCUAAUGACUGGCUAGCCAAGACUGUUUGCAGACAUCUGUCUAGUCUUGUCUGCACUGCUGACCGUAGACAUUCAGGUAGAAAAAAAAAAAAUCAAUCAUAAUCUGUGCAUACUUUAUUAUUACCUUGAUAAAUAAACACAUUUAUAUCUCUUUCAUUUUAUAUUGCUUUCAUUCAUGUCAUGUUUAUUUUUAUCUGAUAAUCUGUCUCCCUGUGCUUGGAUCUUGAAGCAGAACCCGAGACAAAUAGCAUGCAUGUAGAGAAUGAGAGAGGAUGCAGUAAAUAAUAAGAGAAUGAGGGAGAGUUUAAUAAAUAUUGUGAGAACGAGGGAAAAUGUAAUACAUAUUGAGACAAUGUGAGAUUGUCUAAUAAAUUAUAAGGGAACAUGGGAGGCUUUAAUAAAUAUUCACACAAUGAGAGAGUGUAAUAAAUAUUGAGAGAAUUAGCUAACGCACAUACAUAACACACAAUGUAUUAACUAACAGACAGAAUUAUUAGCUAACACACAGAUAUAACUCACCCCUCAUUAGUUAACACACAGUGAUAACUAACAACUCAUUAACACACCAGAAAGUUACCACUCAUUCACUAACACCACUCAUUAGCAAAAACACUAAUGAGUUCACCACUAAUUAGAAAAAAACACUGACAUAGCUCACCACUUACAGUUUUAAAGUAUUUAUGUAAAACUCACUUUAAUGGGUUAAGUGUAUAAGUGUAGCUAUAGUGUGUAAAAUGUAUAGUGUCCAAGGAUCAUAACCUUUCUCUCCCUAUGGUCACACGCUACACAUAACUCGUACAGAUAACACACAUAUAAUGACAGCCAUCCCACACAGAGACACUGCAUACACACAGUGAUAUUUACUCCACACACAGCGAACUGACACACAGUGACAGUCAUCUCACACACUACAGCCACCAAAACAGAGUUACAGCCUCCCUACUACACACAAUGCACACAACCACUCCACAUGCACACAAUACACACAGCUGCUUCUAACACACAAUACAGCAAUGUCUCCCAACAUAAAGCCACCCCACACCCACAUAACAUAUAGCAUACCAGCACGGAGUUAAGAGCAUGGCUGAUUUAGAUGCCUUUACAUGGGGUGGUAAAGAUAAACAUGAAAGCAAGUGUCAGAGGACCCUUGCCUUACAGCUGUCUAUGUGCAGAGAUAUCAGGCUACAACCAAUAUAUUUGAUAUCUAAAAGCAAAGCUAAAAAUCCUCCUGUACGGAAUCUAUUCCAUUCAAAUGCUGUAAUUCCAAAGAUUCCCAAAACAGAAAAUUCAUUCAUGUCACACCCAACUCCACCGAACCUUUAGAUCAUGGGUCCUCAAACUCUGGCCCCCCAGAUGUUGCUGAACUACAAUUCCCAUGAUUCUUUGAAUUACAUAGAUAAUCAGAGAAUCAUGGGAGUUGUAGUUCAGCAACAUCUGGGGGGCCGGAGUUUGAGGACCCAUGCUUUAGAUGGACAACAUUUGAGAAGACAUGAAAAAUACUUGCUAGCAAAUACAAUAUUCAAAUAAGUUUUCACCAUUAUUGAAAAUAAAGCGGCCGGUAUAUUCCAAAACUAUGAUAUUUGAAAAAGGAAUAUUUAUAGAGAGGAUAAUUUUUCAAUAAAGGUGAAAACCACUUGAAAACAUUUUGGCCAAUGACCAGUGGAUGGCACAACUAACAGCAAGUCUUGUGGGAGCAGGACAAAAGGACUGACGUUACUUGUAGGCCAUGUUCAUGAAUCAUUUGUUGUCUGCAGGUUUGUCUCCCACUCAUAUUUCUCCUUUGCAUUAAGCGUGUGUGCAUACUUAGAUAAUGACAUUGCCAACACUUGAGUGGAUUAAUUGUCACAGAAACGUAAGGACGUAAUUAGCUUUUCUAUGUACCGAAAGCCUUUUACAAAUAUUGACGUAACCAUAUGAUAUUAGUUUCUGCUCAGAGCAUCCUUUUUUUUCAGUGCACUCAAUGACACCACUGAAAAACAAUAAAUAUUUGGUGACUUAAUAUUGAAUGCAGGCAAUUAGACUAAAUUAAGAAUGAAAUAUAAAUAAAAUACAUUUUAAAAAAAAAAUUAUACUAAUUCCAUUAUGAGUUGUCACAUAAAACAAUUCCACUUGUAAAUUACACUAAAACUAGAAUCUGGGGUGAAAUUCUCUCUGCCUGAGCUGACAAUAUGGUUGGAAGAUAAAUGAAUAGGUGAUGCUUAUGAUUAUGGUUACACGUCUAUUGGUUUUGCUAUUUUUUUUUUUACUCCACAAAUUAAAAUUUUACAGAUAUUUAAACUUGUCAAUCAGUAUAUCUGAUACAUGAAAAGUACAAAACGCGAAAAGGACACUUGAAUGUGUGUCACAGAAUGUAAAUUCCACGGUCUCCCAAUCAUUCUACCUUUUGUGCAUUUCCUUAGCAACUACAAUGUUUUAGAGUGUCUGACGUAUAAUGUGUUUGUUUCUUAAUAAAGAGGUCCACCGUAUUCCGUUUGUCAGGAGAACGGGGUUAAUCACAGAAAGAUAACUGUCUGGAAAUGUACAUAUUUGAAAUCUAGAUAAGAAUGUGAGUUUAUAGUUGGAUAAAAUGUUUUCCUAACACAAUUUGUCAAUGUUCAGCACACCUGAACUAUUUUUUAAAGGGAUACUCUGAGCACCAUAAUUACUACAUUAUAUUGUAGUGAUAAUGGUCAGGACCCCUGGGCCAAUCCCGUGGCCAGCUGUCAAAGCAUUUAUAAAUGGUUUGACACUUAUCUGGCUCUGUCAGUACUUUUAGUCUGUGGUGACAUGCUACAGCAGAAGUGUGUAUGCCCAUAUUAGCGUAAUGAUUCUGGACACUUUGUAAAAUGGUUUAUGUUUGUAAGUCUGAAAACAAGUUGUGCUCCCUAGUAUUCUGUCCGGUGAAUUGUGUGUAUAGACACUCUUUUUGCAGAGUAUGUGGCAUAACUAGUAGCAUAUUCAUUACCAAUCAGGGUUAUUUAGUAAAGCCGUUGGUAAAUAGCUGGUGUAAAUUUGCUGUGCCAACAGGUUAAUGGGUGGCUCUGUCUCGUAAUCCGACUCCAAUGUAGGGAUUGACAGCAGUCCAAAACUGCGUCUACCGCAUGUUUUGUUUGGGAACUUCUUUUUCGAACUUUUUCACUUAUGACAUAGCUUCACUGAUAUGACUAAAAGUAAAUUUGGAAACAAAACACCCUGCGGCAGUAUCUGAGUGAAAAAAAGGUUUAUUGUGUGAGGGGCAAAUAAGGCCGUAUAGUAGAAUACAAAGAGUAGCAUAGUAAAGGGGGAAAUAAGUCGGUUGAGGUGUGCCGGAACCAAUGUGACCCCAUAAUAAAAGAGGGCCCACCCAUGAGGUGUAAUGAAAAGUAUAGAUAGAGGGAGUGGAGGGUGGGGACAUGCGAAUCGCUAAAAGCACGUACGGGACGGAGAAAGGUGAGUAGGGGGGGUUUAAGUAGGGUAACAUGCCCCUCCAGGCCAAGCCUUUGCAUUUGUGUAAGGGGCAAAUAAGGCCGUAUAGGAAGCAUACAAAGAGUAGCAUAGUAAAGUCAGUUGAGGUGUGGCGGAACCGAUGUCGCGGUAGGCCUGUAAUAAAAGAGGGCAAAAAUAGAUUCAUGCCAGAACGAAGAGCAAUCAACAACUGAUAAGAAAGACCUUAAUUGCCUAGUGUAACGGACCGUUUUGCACAUAAGGGGUAAAAACCGUUUAGGCGAUCGUCCCCUUCCAGAGAUGCAGGCACAGCUACUGCAGAACACCAAUCCGCCGAACAGGAAACCAUACGAAUGCUGUAAACAGCCGAAUAGGAAAAACCAUACGAAUAGGUUUACACUCCUAGCAGUCGAACUGGAACAGCAUACAAUAAAUCCCCCCAAGAACGAGACAAAGCUCCGUGUUGAGGGUCAAGCAGUGAACAGACAGAGCUGUGGGUUUAUUGUGCUUAUGUACACAUUCUUACACAUUAGUACCACCCACAGGGUUUUGGAACACAACCAAUAAACACAUACAAUACACUCAGACACUCCCACACAAAUUCCUCCCCGCUGCAUGUGAUUCAAUUACCUUACACAAUGUUUAAUGUAAUUUAGCACAAGCAGAGAAAUACAAUUUUUCACAUUAUUCAUAACUUGAAAAGUAUGCAUCACAUUCACAUAAAACUUACAUUUUCAGUAUAUUCCAAAUACAAACAUAUGUCAAAAUCAUACAAAUUGGUCCAGUGGUUCAAAAGAUAGAAACAUAGAAUGUGACGGCAGAUAAGAACCAUUCGGCCCAUCUAGUCUGCCCAAUUUUCUAAAUACUUUCAUUAGUCCCUAGCCUUAUCUUAUAGUUAGGAUAGCCUUAUGCCUAUCCCACGCAUGCUUAAACUCCUUACUGUGUUAACAUCUACCACUACAGCUGGAAGGCUAUUCCAUGCCUCCACUACCCUCUCNNNNNNNNNNNNNNNNNNNNNNNNNNNNNNNNNNNNNNNNNNNNNNNNNNNNNNNNNNNNNNNNNNNNNNNNNNNNNNNNNNNNNNNNNNNNNNNNNNNNUGCCUUCUAUCUCCUGCACACAUCAGAUGUAUUUUAAUACGUCUGACGUGUACAUGGCCUUUUUACGGCCAUACAUGAUCGGAAGUCCCUCUGGUGGCCGUCUGAGUGACGGCCACUGGAGGUAUUCCUAUUAAUCAAUGUAAACACUGUAUUUUCACUGAAAAUACAGUGUUUACAUUAGAUUGCCCGUAGGGAGCUAUAAAUCUCACCUGAACAACUACAUUAAGCUGUAGUUGUUCACGUGACUAUAGUGUCCCUUUAAAUCUGAAAUUCACGUCAGUUGCAUCAAUAGACCCUGGUGACUAAGACGCACACAGUGGGGUUCAGCAGUGCUCUCUGCAUGGUCAAGUAAGUUGACACAAACAUGAUGCCAAUCUGGUUCACCCCGUCAGUGGGCAGUUCCGCCCACUUUCCAGGAAGACACGCUGAUUACGGGAUUUGGGUCACUGGACCUACCAUACUUACCUAUCCCGGUUCCAUACCUCCCAAUUUUGGGAUAUAUGCUAUGGCAUACUUUCCAAAAAAGUUUAUAAGGAACACUCUCUACUUUGGAUUGAAAUCCCUAUGUUCUAGGUCAGAGAUCCUCCUCUUACUUAGCAAGUGCAGAAAUGUAAACGUUAUAUAAUUACCAAUUCUUUGUAUUUAGCACUAGCAAUGAUUUACUAAUCAGUGUCUGAGUUGUAAGUAUAUUUCAUAAGCGCACAGAUAUAUUCACAAAUUACAACGCUUUAACAACUUCACAUUAAAAUAUGCUGUGUUGUGUUCUUUUAACACACUGUAUUGAGCAAGUGAUAUUUAUUGUAGGCAUCCAGUAUUCAUUUGUAUUUUUUUUUUUUUAAUUACUCACAACAUUCUUACUUUUAGCGAGACAGUCCAUUGUCGAGACACAAACGUGCUUGUGGUCCUGUCGGUAAAAGUCUGGACGGAUAGACUGUCAGUCAGGGUGACGCGUCCCGUCAGUGGGCAGACUUGCCCUUUUUCCAGGCAGACCUGCCCAUUAUGGGCAUCACUGGUGAUGUAAGCCAUGUCACUGGUGACAUCCCCUCAGAGCGCGGGCAUUAAUAUAAUGUAUGCAUGAUUUAAUAAAUUGUGCACUCAAUUUAAAAUAAUUUCAUUAGUUUGCUCCUCUGAGACUCUGUAUUUGUGCUAUUUAUACAGUAACCAUGUACAUUUUGAGACUGGUGCCCUAUAGAGUGUAGUAAAAAACACAUCAGGUGACAGGGCAAAGGCACUGUGUUAAUGUUUUCCUUAUUUAGCAACAGCUCUUAAACUUUGCCAUUAAUUUCCAUUUAAGUUGUUUGUUUUACAGUUACCCACAACUCCCCAGUGCUCUCAGUGCAUAUCUUAUCCACCCUUAAACCUAGACAUUAUCUCUCAGUAACAAGGAGUUUGAUUACAGAGCUCUGUGAGUUUUCGUCAGGGUAUGUAAAUAAUCAGAUGUGAAAUUAGGGGGUUCUGACAAAACAAGAAACUAUUGGGCUCCAUGACCAAAAAAAACAGAAUGCUUCUUGAAAUGUUUUGUAAAAUGUACAGGUGAGAAAUAGCCAGAGACUAGAUAAGAAAUAUUUAAUGUUAACGUUACUAACUUAUGGCGCAAAGCAGCCAUAUUGGAAGUAUAUUUGAGUAUUUUCAUUUGCCCUAACGAAGCCUGAAUUUUGCGGAUAAGUUGCCAUGUCAACAUAGUUAGUAUUUUAUUGAGUCAAGGAAAGGGGUUAAACCAGCUGUUGGAAAGAGAUUAGCUGCCGUGAAGAUUUCAUCCAAUAGACAAAAUGCGUGAGAGUUGAAUUUAAUAAAAAAAUAACACAGCAAAUGAGAUUAUCAACCUAGAAUGCAUGUGUAGGUCUCCAUUAACCAUUUCCAUUGUCUUAAGCACGGCUUGUGCUGUUGUCCAUUCAUGUAGCACAAGAACCGGGGUACACAUUUAGUACAUGCGAGUAUCGCGCAUGGUAGAGAGACACAAAAAGUUUAACAAAAAGGAAAGUACAAAUGGGGGGUGGAACAAGGAGACAAAUCAAGGUGCCCAAGAUACACCCACUUGUUGGAAAAGUCAACCGCUAUUCUUACUUGCUAUUCAUUUACUAGUUGUGUAUGGUGGCUUUACGAAUGAUAACUGUAGAUGGCUUGGCAAGUUUUCAUGGACAUAUAAAUGUGGCUCCCCAAAAAGUCAGUUUAUUACAUAUAAAAUCAUGAUAAAAGGAAUAUGCUGGAUCAUCGUACUGGCUCUCUAACAAUACUGACGACAGGAGCUGUAUAUUGUCUGUUGAACUGUUGAAGUGUGACCGAGUAAUUGCCCAGAAGGCAGUAUAUCAGGAUUGUCGAGAACAUUUCAGGGGAAACAGACCACAGAAAAUGUAACAAAACCAGCUACCUAUUCAGCGAGAUUAACUUGUGAAAGUAAUGGACAUUAAUGAUAGAAAUAGAUUGGGCCCAUUUGUGUCCACAUUUAGGGAUUGUCAUUAUAACAUGCAUCAAAAGUCCAUCAUUAUAACCAGACAAGUUAGGACUUAGAAGAAGACAGGAAUACUGAAUUUUUAUCAUUCCCUUUAACAGGGAAUACAAUCUCCAUUUCUUUUAUAUUCCCUGUUUCUUUGUAGUCUGCUUUAGUAGCAUCUGACACUAUGUCUGUGUCCAGUUUGCUGUGUUUUGAUCAUUAUUGGGGGACCAUCAUGUGGUGUUCGAUUUUUUUCUUUGUUUUCUUCCAAAUACUUAUGUGUGUGACUUUCUCCAUGAAUAGUAAUACUUGCAUUUACUGAAUGUAUAGCCCGUCAGUUGUGAUACGUACAUGGAUUACGGGACUGGUGGUUGCCCCGUUAAACAAAGUUCUGUCCUGUGCCCUUAUUUUUGAAUGCAGUGUCAUUGCUUUGUUUCUGUCCAAUUCUGUGAUAGUAGUGAGCGUGUGGGUGGAUUGAGUUGUGUAAUGACAGUAUGACACGCACAGGAUAUCAGAAAGUUGUGCUAACAGAUGUAUGCCGAAUGGACCUGGCUGCUGGCCAUGACUGCGUGUACCAGAGUACAUAUCUCUACAUAAACUGUAACAGAAUAAGGGAUUGUUUAUUUAAACCCGGUUAUCACACGCCAAUUUAAAGGGCAGGAUACUUCACGUUGGUAUUAGUAUCAGAGCUCCUACAGAUCUAGAUAAGUAUCUUUAUAGCUCUUGGCACUCUAAUCGUUUUGGACUCUGCUUCCAAUAUUGCUCAGUCAGGAAAGUCUGCAUGUGGUAUGUGUAUUUUUUGGGCUCUGUCUUGUCCCUGCAAAUGUGGAAUUAGUGGUAUGUUUGCACUGUGAAGCUUGAAUAGCAUACCUCCCAACAUUUCAAAUGUACAAACACAUGCAAUUUAAGUUUAGGGGUGUGAGUGUGGAGUGUGGCCAGGGGCGGGGCUCUACUGUGAAAGUUUAAAGUAAGACUGAAUUCGCAAAGUCCUCCAACGAUUACAUUAUCGCUGGUGGUCCAGUGACCGACGUGGGCAGGAAAAGGUGAGUUUACUUACCGUAACGUGACUCUCGCGGGCAUUGCCGACAUCACCGCUGUACUCCCACGCUUGCACAAGAGGACAGCAUUGAGGUCCAUGGGGGAUCCCACGAGACUGCAGGAUCCUCCAUACACAAAGCUAAUUCCCUGAUGACAGCUACAGGGAUUGACACUUUGCUCAAUACUUUCUCUCAGUAUUUCUCGUGACUGGGUUGGCGUUUCAGUGAAAUUCUAACACAGUCAUAAUGAGUAUUUCAUAAAGAUUCUAUCAAUAUGAAAUACUAGUUUUUCAGAGGGGAUGACAGUUCCGCUUUAAGUAAAUAAAAUGUAAUGUAGAACAAAAACAAUGUAUCUUAUUACACAGACUGAUUUCUAAAAACAUUUAUUGUAGUUUAAAGACACAUUACUGGGAGUAUUAUUGCUGUGGAGCCCUGUUAUACACUCAGACACAUUACUGGGAGUGUUAUUGCUGUGGAGCCCUGUUAUACACUCAGACACAUUACUGGGAGUGUUAUUGCUGUGGAGCCCUGUUAUACACUCAGACACAUUACUGGGAGUAUUAUUGCUGUGGAGCCCUGUUAUACACUCAGACACAUUACUGGGAGUAUUAUUGCUGUGGAGCUCUGUUAUACACUCAGACACAUUACUGGGAGUAUUAUUGCUGUGGAGCUCUGUUAUACACUCAGACACAUUACUGGGGUAUUAUUGCUGUGGAGCUCUGUUAUACACUCAGACACAUUACUGGGAGUAUUAUUGCUGUGGAGCUCUGUUAUACACUCAGACACAUUACUGGGAGUAUUAUUGCUGUGGAGCUCUGUUAUACACUCAGACCCAUUACUGGGAGUAUUAUUGCUGUGGGCUCUGUUAUACACUCAGACCCAUUACUGGGAGUAUUAUUGCUGUGGAGCUCUGUUAUACACUCAGACACAUUACUGGGAGUAUUAUUGCUGUGGAGCUCUGUUAUACACUCAGACACAUUACUGGGAGUAUUAUUGCUGUGGAGCUCUGUUUUACACUCAGACACAUUACUGGGAGUAUUAUUGCUGUGGAGCUCUGUUAUACACUCAGUCACAUUACUGGGAGUAUUAUUACUGUGGAGCUCUGUUAUACACAGACACAUUACUGGGAGUAUUAUUGCUGUGGAGCUCUGUUAUACACUCAGACACAUUACUGGGAGUAUUAUUGCUGUGGAGCUCUGUUAUACACUCAGACACAUUACUGGGAGUAUUAUUACUGUGGAGCUCUGUUUUACACUCAGACUCAUUACUGGGAGUAUUAUUACUGUGGAGAUCUGUUAUACACUCAGACACACCAACAAUUUGGAGCUCCAAGAAAAAAGGGACAUUAGGAGAGAAAAGAGGGACAGAGGGAUAGUGGCCCAAAAUAGGGGCUGCCCCUCCUAAAUAGGAACAUUUGGUGGGUAUGGUAUAGUGAUCGAUGUAUCUAAAUUGCUGGGAUAUUUUUUAUCUUUUAAUGAUAGGUCACAUGCCUGAAGAAAGAAUGUCUGAUCUCUAAAUCAAGGACAGUUUCCAACUUGAUUGUAUUCUGACUGCAUAAACCAAGGAUACAUUUCAGCAUUUAUGUGAUUAAUCAUUUAUUGGAAGUACAAUGUGCUGCUGCUAUUUAUCUAGAAUGUGCAAGGCAAACACUGUCUGCUUACUUACAACUUCAUGUGCAUAAAUACCAUAUAUUCUUUGAAUGUAAUGGGUUCAGAUGCAUGCCACAUACCUGCCACAUACCUGCCAAGACUCCCAUUUUGUAAGGACAGAUCACUCCUCUCCUUUCUACCUCUAGUUCCCAAUUAUCUAGAAAAAAAAAAAGGAAAUGAGCGUGGGGCAAAAACACAACAUGAAUUCCUUAAUCAUGCUGUACUGCUCUUCAGGGAACAGCAAAAAUCACACCGAUAAAAACAGUAUUAAAAAUAUAAAUAAACCGGGAAGACACCCCAAAGCCAAAACAUGCGAACACCUGAGGGAACCCUAGACAGGCCCAGCAAUGACACGGCUAAUGCAGUAUCCACACGCCCAAGGUAAGGGUACCCUUUACCCGCAAUACCACCAUUCCCCUGGUUAAACACGGGAAACACCGAUAGUAAUAACGGGGGUAAACACAAGCCCACCACGGACGAUGACACAUAGCUAAGGACACAGGGCCCGAUGAGACGCCGUGGACAGGGGCCAUAGGGGUGGCCUACAAACACUGACACCUAAUCAAAGACUGAUUAAUCUGGUUCAAGGACGAUUACAAAGCAUUAUGUUCACUCAGUUCAUGAAAACGUUACUUAAUUUAUAUUCCCAAACAAAUGUAAAUACCAGAAAAUGGGGACCUGAGAGUCCUUCUGUGAUGGGGCCUGCGAGCCUAAUUUGUUACCUUUUAUAAUAACAUGCAAUGGAGACCUGCGCGUCUCACCGCAAAUUUAAAUACGCAAAAUGAAUAAAAAUCAUAUUCACAAAAAAAUAUAUAAAUAAAGUUGUGCAUCAUACAUACAUGUUUUUUACAUGUACUCUAGGAUUUCGAUAUCACCAAAACAUGCCUCUCACUAGUCCAUUUAAAGGAACACUUCAGACACCAUAACCACUACUGCAUACAAGGCUUAGAUCAUUGGUGGAAAGCCAUCAGCUGACACUCUCAGACUCAGACAAUGGGCUGACCUUGCACUGCAAAGCUUAGCUCGGGAGAGCUAAUGAAAGCUCCUGGUAGUACUUUGCAGGACUCAGUACCAGAAGCCACGAAACAAGGAGCAGACCAAAGGUUAGUUGUCAAAGUCGCAAGGAAACGAUAUGACUACUUACAUUGGCGUUGUACCAGAGCACUCCAUUGGGGGUUCGCCAGUGUGAUGUAGUUGGAGUGUCCCUUUAAGUGGGAUGUGUCCGUUUUUGGGAUACCAGUUUAGUUUCCUGAUGUCCUGUAUCCGGGGACACCAAAGAACUGUCCCCAGCCAGCACAUCAUUAGAUAUACUCACUCUGUACCGAGGGCCCUGCUGAACACUUUAUAUGUUUUAUUUAAAUAAAAAACAACAAUAAAAGUAAUAACAUAUAAAGCUUCCAGCAGAAAAGUAACUUCACAAAGAUCCUUAGUAACAAUUUCUAUGAAUAAGGAUACAACAAAUGAGGCUUUUUGAUAUGUUGGAUGUGCAAGAGUUAAAUGUUACAGCAUGACAGGUGAAUUGCCUCUCGAAAAUGUAAUAAAAAAAUUAGUAUCAAGAAGAGGAUCUCACAUAUGGCAAUCAGAAAGUAUCUGCCUUAGUAAAUACUGAUUAAACCAAGUAGGGUACAAGGUUUAUUGGUGGGAAAACAUAUGUUCUUUCAGAGCCUAUUACACAACUCUGUAGUGUGCAAGUCAUCAGAAGGGGAAGAUGUCUCGUACUACAAUUUAUUUAUACAGUUAUCCAUUAACAAAUCAACUAGGAAACAUUACUGUGACAUUAAGUAUUUUGUUGAAAAUGUUUUAGAUUCAUCACUUCCUUCACAAACUAUCAGCAAGUAUUAAAGGAACACUACAGUGUCAGGAAUACAAAUUUCCAUUCCAGACACUAUAUUUCUAAAUAGCUUUUCGGACCCUCCCUUACCUCCAGUUAAAAAAGGUGAUUUACUCACCUUUAUUCCCCGCCCACGCUCCACCCCACUGACCACUGACCAGGAAGCACGUCUAGUGGCCGCCUGAGUGACAGCCACAAAAGGUGUCCAUCGGCACUAAUGCAAAUACUGCCUUUUCACUGAAAAGACAACGUUUGUAUUAAAAAGCCUUCAGAGACUGACUAAAUUCACCAGAAUAACUACAUUAAAGGACCACUAUAUUAUGGACGUAUUUCCUAUUCCUUGAUCUAUUCAAUCUUAUUUAUUCUUGUUCUUUAUCAUACAUCCCAAGUGCCACUAUUUAGGCGAGACAUUCCCUAUUUUUGGCCCAAUGUUUGGCUCAAUAUUGUUUCAAUGUCUGAGUGUAUAACAGAGCUCCACAGCAAUAAUACUCCCAGUAAUGUGUCUGAGUGUAUAACAGAGCUCCACAGCAAUAAUACUCCCAGUAAUGUAUCUGAGUGUAUAACAGAGCUCCACAGCAAUAAUACUCCCAGUAAUGUGUCUGAGUGUAUAACAGAGCUCCACAGCUCCCAGUAAUAUAUCCACAGCAAUAAUACUCCCAGUAAUGUGUCUGAGUGUAUAACAGAGCUCCACAGCAAUAAUACUCCCAGUAAUGUGUCUGAGUGUAUAACAGAGCUCCACAGCAAUAAUACUCCCAGUAAUGUGUCUGAGUGUAUAACAGAGCUCCACAGCAAUAAUACUCCCAGUAAUGUGUCUGAGUGUAUAACUGAGCUCCACAGCAAUAAUACUCCCAGUAAUGUGUCUGAGUGUAUAACAGAGCUCCACAGCAAUAAUACUCCCAGUAAUGUGUCUGAGUGUAUAACAGAGCUCCACAGCAAUAAUACUCCCAGUAAUGUGUCUGAGUGUAUAACAGAGCUCCACAGCAAUAAUACUCCCAGUAAUGUGUCUGAGUGUAUAACAGAGCUCCACAGCAAUAAUACUCCCAGUAAUGUGUCUGAGUGUAUAACAGAGCUCCACAGCAAUAAUACUCCCAGUAAUGUGUCUGAGUGUAUAACAGAGCUCCACAGCAAUAAUACUCCCAGUAAUGUGUCUGAGUGUAUAACAGAGCUCCACAGCAAUAAUACUCCCAGUAAUGUGUCUGAGUGUAUAACAGAGCUCCACAGCAAUAAUACUCCCAGUAAUGUGUCUGAGUGUAUAACAGAGCUCCACAGCAAUAAUACUCCCAGUAAUGUGUCUGAGUGUAUAACAGAACUCCACAGCAAUAAUACUCCCAGUAAUGUGUCUGAGUGUAUAACAGAGCUCCCCAGCAAUAAUACACCCAGCAAUGUGUCUGAGUGUAUAACAGAGCUCCCCACAAUAAUACUCCCAGUAAUGUGUCUGAAUGUAUAACAGAGCUCCACAGUAAUAAUACUCCCAGUAAUGUGUCUGAGUGUAUAACAGCUCCACACAGCAAUAAUACUCCCAGUAAUGUGUCUGAGUGUAUAACAGUGAUGUGUCUCCACGCAAUAAUACUCCCAGUAAUGUGUCUGAUAACAGAGCUCCACAGUAAUAACAGUGUGCUCCACAGCAAUAAUACUCCCAGUAAUGUGCCUCAGUGUAUCACAGAGCUCCACAGCAAUAAUACUCCCAGUAAUGUGUCUGAAUGUAUAACAGAGCUCCACGGCAAUAACAUUCCCAGUAAUGUGUCUGAGUGUAUAACAGAGCUCCACAGUAAUAAUACUCCCAGUAACGUGUCUGACUGUAUAACAGAGCUCCACAGCAAUAAUACUUCCAGUAAUGUGUCUGACUGUAUAACAUAGCUCCCCAGGAAUAAUACUCCCAGUAAUGUGUCUGAGUGUAUAACAGAACUCCACAGCAAUAAUACUCCCAGUAAUGUGGUUGAGUGUAUAACAGAGCUCCACAGCAAUAAUACUCCCAGUAAUGUGUCUGAGUGUAUAACAGAGCUCCACAGCAAUAAUACUCCCUGUAUCGUGUCUGACCGUAUAACAGAGCUCCACAGCAAUAAUACUCCCAGUAAUGUGUCUUUAAACUGCAAUAAAUGUGAUUAGAACUCAGUCUGUGUAAAUGUGUCUGUAAAUAUAUAUAUACACACACACAUAAUUGGCACAAACUUAGCAAACAUAGGUGCCAAAUAUCCUAAUUUAGCAAUGAGAGUCCCUCAUUUUGGUGUACUGUCCCCGCAAAAAUAGGUCCCUGGGACCUGUCUGGCAUUUUGAUAUCUGCUAGCAGGGGGGGAUAGGGCACUUGGAGCAUGCACAGAGUAAUUCAGUAGCUCUCGGUACACAAGGCCUGUUUGAGGAGCAGGCUGUCUGUCAGUGAUAGGCAGGUUUGCCCAUUUGAUGUCCCACCCUUGCUCUGUGCAGCCUGCUUUUUUCUCUACCAACCUCCUUCCCAGAAGGUGAGCCGAGAGUGUACGGUACAAAUAAAUCCUAAAUGGAUCACUUUGGUCACAGCUGUUGCAGUAGUGCGGUUUCUGAAAGUAAUAAUGCUGCAUAUGUGUAGAUGUUAAAAGGCUUUAUUCACAUACCAGGAACUGAUCAAUAACUAAGAAUUAAUGAGAAAUUUCAGAUUUUAGCACAAACUAGCUGAGCUACAAAAUAUCUGAAAAAAGAAAGAUUUCGGCACACAGUUUGAGUUACCCGGAUCAGUUUCGGAUAAUUCUUCAAUUACUGAAUCAACUCUUAAGUAUGGUGUAAUCACAGUUCUCCCCUCAGCAAUACUUCCCCCAUGGUCCCCCUGGGACACUUCCUACAUAAAGCAGGAUUGCCAGAGCUGACCAAUAUAUUACUCAUUACUUUAACCUUUUAGACAUCUCACGAUGAGCUUUAAAACCUUCGAACCUCGCUGUCACAUUAUUCUAUUAUUCUUAUGGGCUCUGAUAUAAUCAUAAUCCUUCCUUCCCCCUAGUCUCAAAGGAUUAGAUUUUUUUUUAGAUUUAUGCUUGUUUCGGAAAUUGGUAAAAAAAAAAAUCGAAUUAAAUCUUUUUAGUUGCAAAUGCAAUGUAUAAUGUUGGUGUUUAUGAUACUGGUGCUGGAGAGAAACUGUAGCAUGAGAGAGUCUUGUGUUACCAAAUAACAGGUCACCAGAGGGGAAAAAACAACUGAAGAGUAGCAUAGCAGACUACAAUAAGGACUGUCCCUGCAAACUGGAGACUGUUGGCAAGUAUGUGACCAGACAGACAGCUUAGACACUAUAAGCAAUAUAACGUCUAUGGCAACAUUGUAGUGGCUAUGGUGCUAGGAUACUGUGGUAGCUCUCCCCAGUUCCCCAGGCUCCUAGAGCCAAGCCCAUCACUCAGCAUAUUACAUUAGCAAUGUCAGAUUUGGAAGGCCUGUUCUAUACCGCUUGCAUCCAAAGGGUGUACGCAGAUAUUGUAUAUGAACUAUUAGCAAAUAAUUGUUUCAGAUUAUUCAGGUUUGAAACAAAUCCAGUUUUAAUUUAUCCAGAGAGAAUUGUGCAGCGGUUAGUGCCCAAAGGCUUUAUAGCAAGGUGCUGUAUGUAAAAAUAGACAUAAGGCACAACUGGGUGAGUAAUUAACAGGUAUAAAACCUUCGGUAGCUCGGCUCUGUGGUACCUUUUUGCCAUUGCUGGGUAUUAAGGCCUAGGUCGCUUACUAACUUAACAUGGGAACUAAUCGGCAGCUUAUGGAGCCAGUGGUGAAGGAUUACAUAAACUUAUAGGGAACACUUAGAACUCUUGCUGACUGCAACAGGUAAAUAUAGAGGAAACAUAUUCAGCUGCAGCAGUAUCAAGAAGGUAGGGCAGCUGUUUUCGGAACCUCUCCUCUGGGCACAAAGGGGGUAACUUCUGGGACAGUCAAAGAAGGACGAGCUGUCUCCUGUGCCAUCAGGGCUGGUAGGCCAAGUGACUGAAGGAAAGCUGGUAUUUCAGUGGCGUGUCAUAGUUGGUAUGUCUUGCCAGCCUUGUCCGCAUGUAGUCGUGUGGGCCCCUCUUGUAGGGGAUGGCUUGCUCACAGAGUAGCUGACUAACCUGCCGGAAGGACUUCCUCCACAUUAGGGUGUGUCUUGAGAAAUCUCUGUAGAAUGCCAGUUGCGCCCAUUCAAACGGCAUUGUGGUAGAGCCUCUUGUGGUCCCCAUGAGUAUUCCCUGAUCAUUAGUCUAACUAAUUUAAGCACAACAUCACAAGCUCCUUCUAGGGGUGCUGUAGUUGCCCUGGUGAGUCUGAAGCAAGAGUCAAUCAUCACCUGCUUGGCUUGCCACGUUAUCAAUAAGGUGGCUAUGAGCCUCUGGCAGUAGUGUGGCAGUUCAGUGCUUGAGAUUGUUUCAGGCAUGCCUCGGACUCUCAGGUUCCGUGCCUUGGUCCUGUCUUCCAUGCUGGCCAGUUGUGCUUGCUGGUCGGCACAUUGCUUUCGUAAGGAGCUCAGUGCAGCGUCAGUAGCAUUUUACGCUAGUCUGGUACCCCCAUGCCUUCCUCUACGAGAGGCACACCCAGUUGGUGAGUGUGGCAACGUCCUCCCGCACCAGUGCCAUGGUCCGCUUGGAACAUGGACUUAAUGUCCUGCAUCAGAGCCUUAAUAUCGACCCUGGUGGAGGGUGCAGAGUCUCCCAUGUCCACAGGGCCCAUGGGUGUCUGUCGUGCCCGGUUCUGUGUUCCAGGCUCGACAUAAGUACUGUCCUCGUCCGAGGACAGCAAGGUAUAGGCCUCAGGUGCCAUCUUGGGGAUUUCAUGCCGCGAGACUGCGCGCUGCUAUUUAAUCUUUUUCCCCAUGGUGCAGGGAGCCCGGUAGUCUUCUUCGGUGCCCAGUGGGGCAAUGGCUAAGGAUGGAUAAUUCCAGGUUAAUGCUAGGAGCUGCUGCAAUGUGCGUCUGAUUUCUCGGUCGCUGGCUCCACCCUUUUAGCUUUUUUUUUUUAAAAACGAACUGCUCAAUUUUCUUCUAGAUGUAUAUUAAAGCAGCACUGUCACUGUAAAGCGAAACGGAGCAUAAUUUGCAAAGACCCCUGACGGUGACAUCGCAUCUAGUGGCUGGAGGGGCUGGGAAAGGUAAGAUUUACUCACGCGAACCUGUUCCUCGUAGGCACCGUCAUUUUCUUCUAACCGGUCCUCUUCUGUUCCUGGUGCUUCAGUGUGUCAGGGUAGGAUAAAUACUGCUCAAAGUAAGUCCCUACUUUGUCUCAGUAGAUCUUUUAACUGGGUUGAAAUUCAGUGAAAUUGCAACACAGUUAGUAUAAAGAUUUUAUCUUUCUGAAAUACUCAGUUUGGGUGGAUCCUGGAAAGUGACUGUUCCUCAUUAAAGGGACACUAUAGGCACCAAAAGAACUUUAAACAGACUUAUGAGAGCUCCUAUAGUAAAAAUUCACUAUAAUAAAAAUUAAAUUGAUAUAAUAAAUAUAUCUUUAAUGAAUAAAAUACACGGACCAUAUACAGAUCAACCUCUAAAAGGACAAUAUAAUACUGGUAGUAUAUGGUACAGAUCUACAUAGAACAUCUAAGGCCAUAAUGCUGCAUGACACAACUACAGCCACAGUGUAACAAGUACAGAAAUGUAACAAUAAAUGAAACUGUGUCCAAACUUAAAUAGGGAAAACAGACACAAAUUCCACAAUAUGCAAAGCAAAUAAGCCUUAGUCAAAAUGUAUACCAGCAGUAGGCAAACUUCGAUACUCCAGAUGUUGUGGCCUACAUCUCUCAUAAUGCGCCUACAGCCAUCAUGCUGGCAAAGCAUCAAUGGGGGAUGAAGUCCACAACAUCUGGAGUGACAAAGGUCACCAACCAAUGCUGUGUACUCUAAUACUGCUUCUUUAAACUAAAGUUGUUUUGGUGCUUAGUGUAUCUCUUUAAGGGAAGUGACCAUUCCCGAGCCCAAAGGUCCAGCUGCUGUGUUUUUGUAGCCACCCGGCUUCUCAUCGACACCUUUCAUGUGCCUUGGAUGUUUCUUUAAUGUAGUGGAUUGACAGAAAGUAUUUAUGGGAUUUAAGAUAAAGAUCAUUAAUCUGCUGGACUUGUUGUGCAAAUGCUAUUGCAAAUAGUAGUUAAUUAUAAUAAUAACAACUAUAUACUUGAGUAGAAUGUUUGAAUUAAAAGCUUAACACAAUUGAAAAGGAUAUUUUUUCCAUUUUAGAUGUUGUAAUUUUCUGGUUUCUAAUUACCUUGUUAUGUGCAUUCCAAAAAUCUCUUUAUCUGUACAUUGCUUAAUAGUCACAAAGUUCACAUUUUUGUUGUGUUGGCUUUGAUAAAAUGAAGAUCUAAUGCGGUGACAGUGAUGUCGCUUUGCUAAUUUGUAUGUUUUCCGUGUUGUAGAUAAAUUAGGUUACUGAUAACAGCUGAGAUAGCAGUGCUCCGAGACAUUAUCGUAAAAUCAUAAACAAUUGCCUUUUUAGAAUAAAGAGUUAAACAUUAUUAAUUUACAGUAUGGAACGUUGUAAUUUAAAAAAACCUGUAAAUCCGCAAAAUCAACAAAUCAGCAUUACUGCAGAAUGUGUUGGCUCAUAACAAAUAAUACCGAUAAUUACAAAUGUGAAGAGAAAUGGAAAACGCAGCAGGUCUCAGCAGGUUGCUACAUUGAUAUUGCUGCCAACACCCCGUGGUAAUUCACAGAUCUUUCAUGGCCGCGAGAGAGGGGCCAAUGGGCGCUUGUUGCCCGCAUGCGGUGUGUGCUCACAUCAGAUUUCCAAUAUGCAUAAAAUUAAAAUUAGCCACCCAAAAUCUGCGCUGGCUAAUGACGCUCCAAUUACGCUGACAGAGGUGGAAUUACUACUUCCUGCAGCAGAGAGCUUAAACUCUGUAUGUGCAAAGUUUCAUAAUGAAACAUUGUCCAUACAGACUCCAGGCACCAUCACCACUUCAAAACACUGAAGUAAUCAUGGUGCUUGCAAUAACGCUGUAAUAUAUCUAUCUUCCACUGUUAUGAGAUGUAUUCCUCUUUUAUAAAAGUUAAAUCUAGUGUGUAUCAGAAUAACAAUUUUUUUUUUAAUGUGAUGACUUUAAAUAUUGCUUUUCCUCAUUCCAUUUUACUUAUUUUAUCGUCUUUGUUGUUUUAGGUAGACUUUGAAGUAGCAGAAGCAUGAAUUCGUCAGAAGAUUCGCCAAACUCAACGUACAAAUGUGUAUUCGAUGAAGACUUUAAAUACAUUCUCUUACCUGUGUCAUAUGGUAUAGUUUUUGGCGUAGGACUGAUCCUCAAUGUUACAGCACUUUACAUAUUUUUAUUCCGGAUAAAACCAUGGAACGCCAUAACAACAUACAUGUUCAACUUGGCCGUAUCAGAUAUGCUCUACGUUGUAUCCCUGCCAUUACUUGUAUAUUAUUAUUCUCAAGGUGACAACUGGCCGUUCAGUGUGGUCUUGUGCAAAAUAGUCAAAUUCCUUUUCUAUACCAACAUGUACUGUAGCAUCUUCUUCCUUCUCUGCAUCAGCAUUCACCGCUUUCUUGGAAUUUGUUAUCCAAUGAGGUCCCUUGGUUUGCUGAAGGUGCGCAACGCACGGAUCACAUCUGUUGUUGUAUGGUUAAUUGUCAUUGCUUUUCAGUCUCCAAUAUUGUAUUUUGUGACUACCAGUACCAACGGCGACAACACCAUCUGCCAUGACACUUCAAGUUCAGACCUGUUUGAUACAUUUGUGACGUACAGCACGGUCAACCUUGCUUUGCUCUUUUGCGUUCCAUUUGUUACGAUCUUGGUGUGUUAUAGCUUAAUGACCAUAGCUCUUUUGAAGCCGUCAGCAGUCAGUUCUCAAACUUCAAACACCAAGAAAAAAUCAAUCAAAAUGAUUAUUAUUGUGCUCAUCGUCUUCAGCGUGUGUUUCUUACCUUUCCACGUUAACCGGACUCUUUACUAUUACUUUCGAAAGUUGGAUCUUGACUGUGAUGUCUUAAAUGCUAUCAACAUGGCCUACAAAGUGACUAGACCUCUGGCCUGUGCCAACAGCUGUAUCGAUCCGAUAUUGUACUUUCUUUCUGGCCAAAAUGUUCGAAGGAAUAUUAUGGGCAGGAGUGGAAUAAAUAAAAUUAAAAGCAAAAUUUCAACAUAUGUGCGUGAUACGAACUGGUCUACAAUAAAUGGUGCAAACAAUACGGACAGCACACCAAGCCCAAGCCCAAGCCCAACAGUAAUGACCAGGAUGUGAAUUAUUUAUUUUGAAGCUGAGUAAAUUAUACCAACUACUGAAAAAGAUGACGAGUUGUGUCUUUUAAUGGGACAUGUACCAAUUUUUACUUAGAUGGCAACAAUGGAAACAAACUGUUGAGACCAGUGAGAUCUGCGUGUAGCCUCAUUCAUCUUAAAAUUGCAAAAUACAUGAAGACAGUUUUAUAUCCUCUGCAAAGACACAAUAAUAUAAUACUUGUAAGAGGAGGCCCUCACUUCAAAUGUGUUUUUCUACAGAGUUGCUCGAAUAUCUAACUGACAAAAAUGAUGUUAAAAUAUAUUAUGAGCCAAUUCAUUGUUUAUUAAAACUAUGCAUUUCGUCUACUAUCUGCACUUUUUAUGAAUGUUACAUAUUGUAUGCAAAUACCCUAAAAAUAAAUUAGAAUUUCAAGGCGUGCUAAAAUCUCAUAACUGAAUUACAGGUGGUAUUAUAGGCAUAGCCCUUAGAGAUACACACUGCAAGUCUCAUUGUUUUGCAAAUAACUCUGGCUUGAGAUUUCUGAAUGAAUGGAGCAAGGAUAGACUAAUCACUGACGUAGAGGUUCUACAUGUCCGCAAGGCUCAAACUUGUUCAGGCGCCCUAUCAUGCCGUUUCAUGUAUAAUAAUUUGAAUGUAAAUUUUUUGCACUUAUAUGGACGGUCACCAUCGAGUUACAUUUCAGAUUAAUUUUGGAACGUAAAACAUUUGCGGAAUUAUCUAAAUUGAAGACUUAAUUAUUUGUUGAGUUUUCAUUCUUUUUUAUAGAAUAUUUUUGAUAAAGUAAGAAACGGUGGAUUUUUUUAACAUGUUUAAUGCGAGGAAUAUGACAUGUUGAGGUUUACAUUUGUUUAACUGUAAGUUUAAAGUCUGAUUUUAUAGAUCUUUUUGAUUUCAUAGAUUUCAGUGUUGAGCAAAUCUAAGACAAGAGAAAAAGGCAAAUGUAUACCCUUUUCUGUUAUUUCAUAAUUGAACUAAUUUUGACUUUUGUAGACAUGACAGCACAGAGCUUGAAUGUUCCAGUUCUUAUUGAUAUCAAAUUGUCCUGCAGUUUUGACCACCUACCUCAAGUGGAGUAGUAUUCAUGGUGGACUCACUCCUUUUAACAAAGCAAUUGUAAAAUAUAGGCUUAAAGUUUUAAAAAUUAGCACAUUACAGCGAUGGAACCUUCAGACUAUUAUUGAUUGUCUAUCACCUAUAAUCAGUAGAAGUUUAAAUGUCAGUGGGAGUUUAUGGUUUAGAUUCUUGAAGUUCUAGAUCGGUGGGGAGUUAUAGCUUGGUAAGAGCUAAUCUGUUUAUAUGAUAGUCCCACAAUCUUUUGCAUAUAUAUAUAUCAAAACAGAAAAAAGCAUGUAGAAAUAAUUAGAAAGACCUCUCCUCCAUACCGUGUAAUUUAUUUAAAUAGUCAUUAUAUGGCAAAAAUGGAAUGGUGUCAGUUGAUAUAUGUUGUUAUUACUUUUUUUUUUUAAAUGUUGAUGGUCUCCUCUUUAUAAUCAGAUAACUUGGCAAUCUGGCCUUAUUUCCUAUGGUUAACUAACUAGGAGAUCUGAUGUAAAUCUACAAAUUUUUUGUGAUGUAUUUGGGUUAUGUUAUAAAUUCUGUAUUUCUGCACUUAUGACAUGGUCCCAUCAGUGGGCAUUGUCAAUACUGACUACACACUGAUGUUGACAUCAUUGAUCUUAACAAAGACACAUGCUAUAUCACUGAUCAUAGGUUCCUGGUCUAAUCCGAAUCACUGCCACCAUUGUCAUAAAUUUCCAAUCCUUCACUGGCUGGCAUGAUGAUUACAGUCAAUGGGUAAAAGAGUCCAGAGAGGAUUAUUUUGUUUGUUGUACAUAGCCGAAAAUCCUCUAUUUCUCAAUAGACUCUUGGUUGGCCAUCUUGAAAAGUAUACUGCUCGGUCUGUGAGCAAUGCUGCCUUUAAGCAGUAGUCAGUGACAACCUACCUCCAUUUCAUUAAAUUUUAACGAAGUCUGGAUGACACAGAGCACAUUGUCUAGUGCUGGUUCCUAAUCUAGACCUAAAAGAUUUAAUGAUAACCAGUUCCAAUAUUUUCCACAUCCAUAGCAGAAAAUGUAUCAAUGUACCCACACAUAUGCACGCAUCCAUACAUACCUAUGUAAAAGAGAGAUAUGCACCCUUUCCUCAUGGGUCUAUCAAUGUUUGCAUUGGAGUUUAUGUGUCUAUAUGUAUUUAAACACAAGCUUAUAUGCAUAGAAUAUACAGGCAUAUACAUAUAUGUAUCCUGUUAAUGUCAUAUUGUAAAGAAUUGUAUAGAAAUGUAUUAUAUUUAGUAAAUAUUCAUAUUUCAUAGAGCUACUUGUGUAGUGGAUGC